RNAcentral lists this long non-coding RNA (49018 nucleotides) under Lathyrus oleraceus (garden pea). RNAcentral's name for it is "Pisum sativum (pea) long non-coding RNA (PSAT_LNC003781)". The record is from RNAcentral. Lineage: Eukaryota; Viridiplantae; Streptophyta; Magnoliopsida; Fabales; Fabaceae.
AAGAAAUUGAAAGGAAAAAAAAUAAAAUCUUUCUAAAAUCAGAUUGCAGAUACAUUGGAAAACUAAGAUUAAAUUGAAAAUUCGUCCACAUACAUCAAAGGCCCAUGGGUUUGAGCAAUUACAAUAGAUUGAAUCUAAUCUGAUAAAAUCUUUCCUAAACAAAUCAAUCAGACAUAAUUUAUGACCUAAUUCUAAAUAUUAUAAAAGCCUAAGACAAAAACUAAAAAAGGACGGAAAAAAUUAGAACAAAAAACCCUAAGUUGCUGCAGAAUCCCAACCAAAACACCAAAGCUCCGAUUGAAGCAUUUAGGGUUUCACAUAGAAACCCUAAGUUGACUUGAGCAUCAACCUCUAUUCAACCACCUGGAACGUACAAAAAAAAGACAGACAAAGGGAGUCAGAGGAAGAGAAAACAAAAAGAAAAAAAAAGAAUCAGGAAAGUUGGAAAUUUUACCUUUACCAGAGAUCCUUAUCUCUAUAGGUUGGUAGACAUUGAUACUUACUCUUUUGUUGUUUCUUAGAUGAGAUGGAAUGUAUAUUAAUAUUUGUUGGUGAUUUGUGUUGUUUUAAUGUGGGUUAGGGUUUGGUUUAGGGUCAUCCAGAAGGGGCUCUAGGUUCUUAGAGUAUGAGAUUUUGUUGAUUGAUUUUCGAAUUUGAGGGUUUAAUUCAUUAGCAAAGUGUUUGAAUUUAUGGCCAGGACUCAAGUUUGGAUGGAUUUGGGUGAGGAAGGUGAGAAUUUGGGUUAGGUGAGUGGUUGGCCGAAGGACGGAGAUGAAGAUUCAUAUUCUCCAAGGUAAGGGUUCUUAGGCUGAUAGGAUUCAUGGGUUAAGGUUCAUGAGUUAGGGUUCAUGAGUUAGGGUUCUUAGAUUAUUAGGGUUCAUGGGUUUGGGUUCUUAGGUCGUUAGGAUUCUACUAGGUUUGUGUUAGGGUUCAUGGAGUUGGAUGAAGUCAAUGGUUAGGGUUCAUCAAUUGGGUAGGGUUAUAAGGGCUAAGGUUGAAUGUUUGAAGAUCUAGGUUGAACUUCAACCAGAGAUCUGAGGGUCACGAUGGUGCUAAGGAUAGAAAUAGUGGGGGAUGUUAGUCAGAAGGGAGAGCAUGGAAGUAAGAGAGAAAAGGAGUCUGAAAGAGUGAUAGGAGUGAGAGAAGAAAAGAGGAGAAAAUAAAAUGAAAAUUGGGAAAAGGGGUUUUAAUACUCCCUAGGUUGGGCGCCAGAUCAUCAACACGUGGCCCCCUGAUGGCUGCGCGAUUAGAUGACUUUGACUCAUCUAGUGUGUGUGUUCUUAUCGUCUUCCCUUUAUUGACUUCCAAUCUCAACCUUUCUUUCAGGUUACCUUGACUGGUAUGCUAAGUGGAUGUUUGUGAUGAGUUAUCAUCUGAUCUAUUGGAUUAGGAUCUAACGCCCUAGAGAGAGUCAACCUUUGACUCUCUCCCAUGGACCUAAGACCAGCGCAUUGGGCCUUUCAACUACUAGGAUUAGCACUUUUUCUAUCCCAUACCCCUCAGUUUACCAGCCCAAAGGCUUCUGCAUCCCCAACCUUAUUAUUUCUUAUUUCUCUUUUACUUCUUUCUUUUCUUUUUGAUAUUUCAGUUAGACUAUUACUUAGUUCAUUAGGGUAAUUUUUAAGGUAAAAUAGGAUUAAUUUAUGAUUAAGUGAAUUAACUUAGGAUUAGUUAUGUAAAUUUAGGUUAUUAUCUUAAUUAUAUUUUAAUUUAAGUUAGUUUUUUUCUAAAUCAUAAAAAACAAAUUUAUUUCUUUGUAAUUCACUAUUCAAAAACAACACAAAUAAUAACUAUGUAUAUACGAUGGAUUUAUUUUCUAAACUAAAUUAAAACUAUAUUUUGCAAGCUAAAUUGGUUGUGUGUCACGCCUUAUCAAUCUAUAACUCAACUCAAAAUUUAAAAUCAAUCCAAACACAUCAAAUACUCUUUUCUCCGCCCUUGUGCGUUGAGCCCUUUUUUGAAAUAAACUUUUCUGCAUCCCUGAAUGAUAUGCAUGAAUGCAUGAACGUAUGGAUGCAUGCAAAAAUGAUAUUUUUAAGUUUAUAGGGAAUCCUGGGAUUGUCAAUUGCAUAUGAGUAGACAUAAAAUUACAGAAAAUAAGACAAAAGAUAUAACCAAUAAUGGAAAAUACUCAUUUUAUUCACCGGGGAAGAACAAAGAGUACAUUAUUAAAACUCUGGGAUUUGCUCGAUGAACUACAAGAAGAUCAACUUUGAACCUCUCAAUCACAACCCUACAAAAAAAAGUGAAAGACAACCCUAGGAGUAUUGUGUGGAAGCAUGUUUGCAUAAGCUUCCUUCAGCAUGCCCGAGAGAUCUUCAAUUGUAUGGUCAACAAACCUAGCCAAGUGUGCAUGUUUAUCCCUCCAAUAUUAUGCAUAAUUUAGGAGAUUAUGCAAUAAAGUGAGGAUAGAUCCAUGUAAGAGUAUUUGUAGAAAUGAUUAUUUCUGAUCAAGGAGAACUUUGAGGUAACGACAAUGUCGCUCCCAUUAAGAAUCUUAUUUGUUGAGUUGAUUAAUAACUUCUUAACUCUAAUGUGCUUUCCCUUUCAACUCUAUGAUUUCUUCAAAAACCUUUUCGAUAUCACAUUGACAUCGGUAAAGAGAAACCUCAAGCUUCUUAGCAUUUAUUUUCUCUUUCUUCAACUGUUCUUUGAAAUCUUUCAGUUGGUCUCGAAGUUCUUUGAGUUGGCCUUCAUAGCUCUCUUCCAUCUCUUUGCGAGAUUUCAGAGUUUGCUUCCAAUUGGUUACCACUUUUCUAGCAUGACACUGAGUCUUAGCAAGUUGAUUUUUCUUUGUAGAGAGGCCAACAUAAUUUCCCUUAAGAGCUUCAUCCACCUUUCUUCGCUUGUUAUGUUCAUCUUGAGCAACCUCAACAACUUUGAGCGUAUGCUCUCUCUUCUGGUUGAGAUUGAUCUUCAAAUCUUCCUUCUCUUGAGUAAAUCUACCAAGAUCAGAUUGCAAAUUUUCAUUCUCCUUUUCCAAGAGCUUGAUAGCAUCCUUAAGCUUGUCAACUUGCGAGAUAGGAACAAUAGAAGGUAUAAGAGGCUUUAGGCUCAUGGAAAGUUCCCAAGGGUAGGGAAGUUUUACGACUUUGACUCUUUGCUUGACCCAAUAAGUGUAAGGCUCCAAAGUAAUGCAACUCUGUUUUCCAAGUUCCUUUUCCCUAAUGUGGUGGAUUUUUCCUCAUGCACAAGGUAUCUAUUUCAGCAAUUAAGGAUCAUCAACCCCUUCAGCUAACACAAAUUCUUCCAACAAUUCGUCCUCAGGUUUGUUCUCCACUAGGUAACCAAGUUGAUGCAAUGAAAGAACAAGAUUGUAGUUAAUACUUCCCUUAGUACCAAUGAUAUGCACAUUAUGAAAGUCAACAUAACUAAAUAAUUUAUAUAUCCCAUCAUAGCCAUGGUUGUACCACACUAUAUCAUCGACAUUCAAAGACAUAAACCUUUGAGACCACUUCAGAGCUCCCAUAUUAUCAACAAAAUGCCAUUUCCUUGGUAAGUGGGUCAGAAGCCACUUAUAAAGCAAAGGAACGUAGUAGUUGAUCAUCCCAACCUUCUUUUUAUUCCUCCAAUGGAAGGAAAAAUAGAUAUCGCCCAGAAGUGUGGGAACAAGAUUUCUGGAUAAGAAGAUGUUGUCAACAACCUUAUUAACGAAGCCUUCAACAUUUAGAAACAAUAUCAAACCAUAAAUGAGGAGAGAAAAGAUGGCAUAUAAAGCAUCCCAACUUCCACUAUCAGCAAAUGUGGUAUCUUUUUCAAUCAGAAACUUUGAGGGAAAUCCUCUGGUGUUGCCUUUGGUACGAAUGUUAGAUUCAACCAUUUCCUUUUUUAGAUGAAGAGCUUGAGCUAUCAGUGCAGACUCUGGAAAACCAUCCAAGAUUAUGUAUGGAACCUAAUAUUUGGUUGGAAUAUGUAAGAUAUGAUCAAACUCUUCCAAAGUAGGAGCGAAUAGGAAAUCCUAGAAGGUGAAACAGUGCAGAGUAGGAUCAUAGGACUGUGCAAAUGCGAGGAUCAAGCUAGUGUCCUCCUUAGUAAGAAGAAUACUACACAAGUUUCCACAAGUCUUCUUGAAGGCAUAUAUGUGAUCAUCAACUAAGUGAGCUCCAAUAUUCCUUAACUCAUAUAGCUUGGGUUCCCUGAGUUUGUACUAGAAAGUGUUUCUUCUGUCGGAUUUUUCUAUAACUGAAUAUUUUAGUAUUACUGGAUGAUUGUGGAUUCCUUGAAAAUCAUGUACAUGCUAAAAUGAAUUUCAUGUGGAUUAAAUGCAUACAUGUAUGCAACAUCCAUGUAUUCAAAGGUUCGUCGUAUUCUGCAUAAUCUGAAUAUACUUCUUGAUGCAGGUUCAAAGGUCCGACAUAUUCAUGAUAAUCAAGGUAUGUAGAGUUUUGGGUUUCCUGUAAACGCAUAUCCCCUCAUAGGUAGCUAAUAUUCUUCAAAGAAAGAGGUUUCUAAAAAGGUCCUUAGAGUCACAGACCCAUUUUGAGAUACCACUACCUAGAAUGAAUGACUCGUCGGACAAUGAUGCUCCCAAAAGGAUCUACUUUAGGGAUGGCGUCUCGUGUUAACGACGAUCGAGGCAUAACACCAAGGAGGUCAACAUGACUCUACCACUAACUAUCCUGUGUGUAUACUCAAGCUCGGGUAUAGAGAUUUUCUCUCAUGUAACAUCAUAAACCUCAACCCAUAACAGAGAAUAUAACAGAUAUUCAAAAUAUGAUAAAUAUAUAAAGCAAUAAAAGCAAUAAAAGCAAAGCAUGUAAGAGUAAAUAAAGAUGAAAUAAGAUAUGGAAAGUAAAAGAAUAAAGCUAAACACCAAACACACAAAUAAAACAACCAAAACUAGGCUUGACUUACUUAUGGACUCCCUAGCAGAGUCGCCAACUGUCAUGCCACGAAAAAUACCCAAGCGCAUCACACGCUUGAAAUACAAUAGAGUCACCACCAAACUUUAUUUAUUCCAAAGGAAAGGGAAAAUAUAGAUAAAACCCAGGGGGAAGAGAAAGAGGGUAAUGAAGUCGGUUAUGCAAGGGGAAUGUAUUAACACCUCUUACAUCUGUUGUACUCAACAGGAACCAUUUUGAUUGUUCUUUGGGUGGAUGGGUGUUAUUAUCUAAAGGUUACUUGCGAUUGAAUUUAAUAAAGGGGAAAAUAAUUUUAUUAAUUAAUGUGUUCGCCAAGGAUUCAAACCCUAGUUCCUAUGUAUUCUCAUAGUACAAUGAGAAAAUCAGAGCUCCAUAGUUCAUGGUAGAAAACUACGAAUUUGUUGGUUGCUUUUAGUAACAGUUAUAAUCAUAUCUUGGAAGUAGUUUGAUGUUAUCUGAUUUGAUCCUAGUUCUGAUGCUCUAAGCUUUUAGUAUGACUGCUAAGGAACAAAUUAUAACAAUUCUUUUUGAAAUGAAAGAAAUUUGUUCUUUGAAAAGGUUUAAGAUUGAAUUGAAUUGAAAAAGCUUAUGAAUGUUUGUAAAUAUUUGUGAAAUGGUGAAGGUGUUGUUUAGUAGGGUGAAAGUAUUGAACGAUAUGGUGAAAGUAUUGUUUGUACCAAGAUUGUAUUGUUUGAACCUAUAAAGUGGUGUCUGAACCAUGAAAAAGAAAUAAAAGUGGUGUUAAAAACCAAAGAGAAAAUAAAUGUGGUGUUUAAACCAAAGAUAUGGAUGUUUUAACCAAGAUGGUGAUUAACCCAAAGAGAAAAUACAAGAGUGGUGUUUAAACCAAAGAUAAAAUAAAGUGGCACUUAAACCAAAGAGAAAAAUAAGAGUGGUGUUUAAACCAAAGAGUAUGGCGUUUAACCAAUAACUGGUGAUUAUCCAAGGAGAAAACAAAAGUGGUGUUUAAACCAGGAGUGUGGUAUUUAAGCAAUAAUUGGCGAUUAGCCAAGGUAGAGUUGUAGGAUUUUUCCUAGAUCGAGAAUAAAGACCUAUAAAUAGGGGGUUUUCCUAAGCAUUGGGCCUGACAAGGAAAAUAUGCAUGAAAAGGGGUUUUAACCAUAAGAAGGUGAUUAACCCAUGCAGGAGGUAUUUAACCAAUAACUAGUGAUUAAACUCAAGUGUUGUGUGUGGUUCAGAGAUGUGUGUUUAACCUAGAGAAUGUGAUUAACCCAUGUAGGAGGUGAUUAACCAAGAGUAGGUUAUUAACCUCAAGAGUUAUGUAUAUUCAAAGAUAAUUGUGUUUGAUCGAAAGAGAAAGGUAUAAUUUAUGGGGAUUGUUGAAGUGUUGUCUGUGGGGAAGAAAGUUUGAAAGUUGUUUGAUUUGAAUUACACUAAAGUCUAUGAAUGGGGGUGAAUUCUUUGAAUAACUGGGGCAUUUGUCUCGUAUCUAAAGGUAUUCAUAACAAGGGUAGGAAAUAUCCCUCUCAUUUUUUUCCAUUGCUUAAGACUUGUGGCACACAAGUCACAUCGUAACUAACAGGUGUUUUGAAAGAGAAGAGUCUUUUUGUUUGUUUUGAAAAGGGUGAGGCAAUGUGAUUGAAUGGAUGAAGCUCGACAUGAUCAUGUCUUGAUGUUCUUCCUUCUUCAUGAUGUCCUGAAUGUGAAUGAUGAGUUGACUUUAUAGGUCAAGUUUAAUGCAAGUGUAAAAACCUAAUUAAAUCAAGUGAUCAAGGGACUUUUGGUCACUUGAAUGAAUAAGGAUCUUGAGGGGAGCAUGCCAUUGUUAAUGAAAAGUCAUACAAGUCUAAUACUAAAUGUAAUUAAUUAACCAAUAAUGAACUUGACCAACUAAUCAAGGGGAUGAACAUUCCAAGAAUCAUACACUAAACACAUGAAAAUAUGAUAAAGAAAACAAUGGAUUAAAAAUUGAAAUUAAUCAAGGUUAAUCCAAAUAUCUAAUGUGUUCCUAAUUAAAACAAAAGGGGAUUAAAUUAUAACUAAAAUGAAUCCAAUCUAAUUAAAAUAUAAUGAGAGGGAGCAUGAUGUUUUUUAUGUAUAACAAAAAAAGAAAAGGAUUAAAAGAGUAAGAAAAAAACAAUUCAAUAAUAAAUAAAUAAAACACUCUGCAGGGGGUGUAUUGCUAAAACAAUGGGUUUGAUCAGUAAAAGGCGUUCGGACUAGCAUUGAAGGCUCGUGAUUGUUUGAGUCUUGUUUCAGAGAGAGGAUGUGUGUAAGAAACCCUAGGGUGUGUGGCAGUAAAGCCCAUUGGGCUUAGUGGCUUGAAGGCCCAACGCUAAUGGGAAAAGGGUGAAUGAAUCAGAAUCAUCACCUCAUUUCAUUUUCACACUUCAACCACGCUUCUCUCCCUCUCUUAUGAAGAAUCUCAUCGAAAAUAGCUCUGCCGUGCCGGAGGCGGCUGAGCAACCCAGUUCACCCUAAAACCACCACCAAUCUGCUUGUUUCUUCCUCCUCCUUCCAUUUCUCAACUCCAAUUCACCUAGAUUUCAAAGAAAUCUCCAAACCACAAAAAAGAACACAAGAACCCUAAAACACAUAUACAAAAUUAAAUGGUCAUGGAGGGGAAUCAAAGCAAGAAACCUUGGGGCUUUAAUUCCCCUCGUCUUUCUCUACAUCUUGGCAUCACAUUUGAAGCGAAACAAAAGAGUCAAGUGAAAUAUCUUACUUGCAAGGCAGAGGUUCACCCCCUGGUGAUUGCUGAAGAUUGAAGAAGAAGAUUAUGAAGAGAAAACCAGAGAUAUUAACAGGUAUGUACUUCGAUGCUCCAACCUUUCCUUGGAAUAAUUUAUUCUUCUUCUUCUCUUGAACAUAGUCUGUAGGAACUUAAGAAUUUAUGUUGUUGCUAAUGCAUAUAGAGAGUAGAGAGUGUAGAGAGUGUGGCUUCAACUCAGUUGAAGUAAACUUUAGUGUGAAGUUUUCUCAACAACGGCGGAUUGGAGAUUUGUGUAUUGGUGAGGGAGAAGAGAGAUUGAAGAUAAAUUCAGGGUGGAGAUUCAGAGUGAGUGGUUAAAGAUGAUUGAAGAUGAAUUGGUGGUUAUAGAGACAUUGAAGUGGAAUGAGUUUGGUAACUGUUUAGGGCAGAGUUUAGGGCAGGUGAGUUGAAGGUUAGGUCAGGUGUUAGUUUGGAUGGAGAUUAGUUAAUUAGUGAGAAAAGUUGUUAGGAGGUUUAACAUUGUUAGUUUGGUGGUUAAUGAGUUGAAAAUUUAGUUAGGGUAGUUAUGAAUUGUUAUGGUUGUUAUGGAUUUGUUUAGUAGGUUAGUUGGAAUUGUUUGUUUGAAUGUUAGUGAUCUCAAAACUGUGACAGUUAGGUUAGUUAGGUAAGUGGUUAGUGAAAUAUGUUAGGUUAGUUAUUGAGUAUGUUUUGAAAUUAAAACUGUUAUGAUGUAGGUUAUGAGACUGAGUUAGAACUUCUAUGACAAUUACAAUUUGUGGUGUUAGACAGUUAGAAAUUAAUUUGUUUAGUGAAUAUCCUUUUUAAUUGUUAGUGCAAAUGUGAAAUUAUGAAUGUUGAAUUGCUUGUACUGUUAUUGUUGUUGUAUUGACUGAUAUUAGUUGGAAGCUUCAAUGAAAACUAUUAAUGAAUUCGUGUAGAAAUAAUAUUGGUUAGGAGGUUAUGUUGGAAAUGUAUGAUUGAAUUGGUUAGCUUUUAGAUAGUUCAUUGCUUGAAUUGUUAUGUGAAUUGUUUGAACUAAAUUAGUGUCUUUAGUUAAAAGUUGAUUAAUGCUAGAAGUUUAGAAAAAUAAAAGGUUAAGCUUAUGUUGUUAGCUAGUGAUGAAUCAAGUUAAUUUGUUAGUGAAUUUGGAUGGACUGUUAAAAGCAAGUGCAUUGUCAAAACAUGAUCAAAUUAGUAAUGUGGAAUUAUUAGAUGGUUAGAGUUUUGGAACUGCUAUGUCAUGUUAGUAAGCAUGUUAGUGGGAUUUAAGUGGAUUGGCUUAUGAGUUUAGUGGCAUUGGUGUGUGUUGAAUGUGUGUGUAUGUAUUGAAUGGAUGUCAUGGUUAUACUAGGUAUGAAGCAUAAUUGAGUUAUGUGAAUGUGUCCUUAUAAUUCUAAAUGGUGCAGGGCUGAAGUGCAUAUGGUGGAGUGAACAAGACUUAGAUUGAAGAUAGCAUCAUCAAGAUUGGCAUGGCAUGCAUAGCAUGGCAUCAUGGUGAUGGAGUUUUGUCAUAUUGUGAAGAAAUUGGAAUUCAUCAAGAACAUGGAGGAUUUGAAGAAUAUUGAAGGCAUAAAUGGAGGAUCAAUAAGGAAGAAGAUCAAAGUAGCCUAGUGUAACACCUCAAAAUUUGCCCUCCUCUUCUUGGGACUAGUUUAGCAUAUUGCAUUUCAUGUUUUAGGACAUUAGGCAUUCGCAUAUUGCAUAUCAUAUGGAAUAAGAUAUCAUCCUCUAAUGUCUUGUUCAGAAGAUGGAGGUGGUAUAUGGUUCAAGCCUGAGGGUCUUAUUGAAUUGAUGAUCAACCAUCUGAGGGAAACGUCACGUAAUCCCAAAGAACUAGGAAGUUUCCAUGAGCAGUGUCUUGAUUGCAAGGGUAUAUUACCAUCAUCAUGGUUAUGUCAUCCUCAAGGGCUUCACUGUGCAUGCUCAAGUUCCUUGGGGUUAGGGUUUUGACCUCUGGUCAACCCUAAUCAAUGCAUUCUUCCAGUCAGGGUUUAUCAAGGAGAUGAGGUAUUUGUUGAUGAUGAAGAUCACAUGGUUAAAUGGAGAGCUUAUAUGGGCUAGGGGUUUCAUUUCUGAGCCAAUUCCUCAAGUGGUGGAGGUUCAAGGUCAUCAGUGCAUUGCCAAGUCAUCUGGCGCCCAUAAAAGUUAACUGAAAGCUAGGAGGUGGAGAAAUGAGUAUCAAAACUUCAUUCAUGUCCAAAAGAGGUUUGUUCAUCAUGUCAAACAUCAAUCUUGAAGAAUUUGAAGCCAGAUCAAAAGUUUCCCAAAAUGAAAAGUGACCUGUAAUUGAAAGUUUCCAAAAAUGGAAAGAUUUUGGUUCAAAUUCAACUUGACUUUCCAACAUCAAAGAAGCUUCAAAUGAACUUUUGGUGUACAUGAAAGUUGAAGAUCUUUCUCUCCUCUUUCCAAAAAGUCCUAUUUCAUGGAUUUAUGAUGAAUGUUGAGAAGUUAUGAUCCAAUGAUUGCAAAGUGUGCAGGAACUUCAACAUGGCAUAACUUUUGACUCAAAACCCAAAUGAAGCCACUUCUUUUGCAAAAUUCUUGUCUGACCUAUAUUUCCAAAUCUUCAUUGCAUUGCAUGAAAUUAAUCACAUGAUCAUUUGUUCAUGCAUGUUCAUUUUGGAGCGAAAGUGAAAUUCAAAUUUGGUGCAAGCUACAAACAUAAUCCAAUCCCAUUGUGUUCUUAGGUGAUUUGAGUGAAUGUGAAGAUUGCAUGCUACUGUUCACGUGUGAAUUUGCCAUGCACCACACACUUUUCAAUUUUGUCAUGCACCUCAUUAUUUGAUUAACUUUUCAUUAACCAUGCUUAAUGAAUUUUCAGCAUGAUUACACAUAGUAUAAGCUUAAUCAUAACAAAUUGUUCAUAACAUCACAUUCUAGAUUCUCAAAUUUGCUUUCCCUCCAUUUUUGCUCUCAUUUCAUAAUUCAAUUUAUUUCACAUAACAUUCUUGAUUUUAUGCAUCAUCAUGAUCACUAAGCUUCAUUGAGUAUGAUCAAGCUUUGGAUUUGAAGAAUUGAGCCAGAAUCAAGCACAUAAGCUCAAGAACAUGAAGAUGGAAGUUUGCAAUUCUGAUCAAGAUCCCAGCCAUUUCAAGCUUCAAUCGUGGCCAAACUUCAAUAUACAAGUGAUAGAGGAGAUCUGGACAUUGCUAGGCCUGAUAUACGUUGUUUCCUCAUUCUCUUCAAGAGGUUGGAAAUUCGAAACUCUUGAUUCUUCUUUUUAUUGCAUAAGACGUUGUAGAGCUUUUCAUGCUGAGAAUUCUGAUAUAGAUUUCAUGGAAAAUGGAUGAAUAUUGGUUGAGUUAUGUUGAUUUGAAGUUUGUGUGUUAAAAAUGUUUUCAAUCGAUUUACAUGAACCAUGGACUUUUAGACUUAAUUAAUGUUGGAUUCGUGUUGUACAUGAGAUAAGUUUUCGUUUGUAUUAAGCCAUGCGCGUUUCUGGAUUUUUUUUUGGUGUUCAUCACUGUAGCUCCGCCGUUCCAAUGAAGAAGACGGUGGAAACCACCGUCCCUCCACCGCGCGUGAAUAGUGUGCGUGCUUCCUGGUUCAAGCGCCUAGGGCUCACUGUUUGAGCGCCUGUCACCAAUGUGUCUCGUGUUCGAUUCCACCUUGCCAUGCAUUUUUUUCAUUUCAUUUGUUUUCCAAUUUUGAAACGGCUGCGUUUUGAUCCUAGCGCGCCAUACCUCCAUUCGAUUCCCGGCUCCAACACUUUUUGUGAUUUAUUUCUUCAGCGCCUUCUAUUUUUUCAUGUACAUGGUUCGAUUCCCACUGACACCAUAUUUUCAAAUUCUAUCAACCUUUUCCAUUUCCCUCCAAUUAUCAUAUGAUUUGCUUCAUUUUAUUUCAAUAUUUUCAUUCAAUUUGCAAAAAUCAUAACAAAUAGAAAAUGAAUCCAAAUCACUUCCAAUUUUUUGCUACAUGUUCAUAUGGAUGCCUAUUAUUUUGUGGUUGUGAUUUCUUGAUUUUAUCAUUUCUGGAUUUUUAAUUGUGGACUGUUAUUUGAACAUGAUGCAAAAUGUGACAUGUUAUACCAAUUCUUUUGUGAAAUGCUCAUACAUUUUCCAAUUGAUUUGAAAUUUGAUAUGCUGAUUCCCAACAUGUUGCUUGAUUUUUGAGUCUUGGUUGUGCAUUUUUAUCAUUCUUCAUCUCUGUUUUAGACACAUGAAUGUAUGGUGUGACAAUGUGUGUCACACAUUUUGAUGUUGCUCUUGUUCAUUUUCAUAUACAUGUCAAUUGAGCUUUUCUGAUUCCAAUUUUUUGCAUGAUGCUUGUGUUUAACAUGUUGUAUGCACAUAAAAAUUUCCAUGGUUAUUUGACUCAUUUCUGUUUUAAUAUGGAAUUUCUACUCUUAAUGUCCAAUUGUGUGCUUUGUAAUUGCCUUUGCCUUAUUUUGUGCUUUAGAUGGCUCUUCUUAUUGAUUUGAGUUUGAUCCUUUUUAGGACAUGUUCUUACAUGAAUAAAUAUGCUUCAUGUUGAAUAUUGGUUGCUGUUUUGACUUUUUGCUUUACCUUUGACCCUAGUCUUGGUACUAGUGGUUUGUACUCACCUUUUGAGCUUUGCAUUUCAAGUUCAAGCUUCUAGUCUUAAUGGUUGAUGCAAUCUCAUGACUUGAGAUGCAAAUCUGCUUUAUCCACUAACCUUUGUUGUGUUGUAGGUUCCUUGGUGAUGAACUCACUUGAGUUGUUGAUUUGUUGACUUGCCUUGUGUGCAUAUUGGUUGUAACAUUGUUGACUGUUUGUUGGAUUUGUCUGAAUGUGAAUAUUGACUUGUUUGACUUUGUUACAGGUACUUUAGUCGCUUUAGCUCAUUGCUUGAGCUUUGCUUUGCUUGUGGUUGGUAUACCACUAAGGUAACCUCUCUAACUCCAUGUAGUCUGGAAGCCCUGUCGCUUUUUUGGCAGGCGUUUGGCUGAAGUCCUCCUUAAGAGGCAAUGACUGUGUUUGUUUACAUUUGUGCUGUUACUUGUUAAAGUCCAGUAGUCUGGAAGCCCUGUCGCUUUUUUGGCAGGCGUUUGGCUGAAGUCCUCCUUAAGAGGCAAUGACUGUGUUUGUUUACAUUUGUGCUGUUACUUGUUAAAGUCCUCCUAAGUGAAGAGGCAAUUGGCAGAUAGAAGCGAUUAGCAAUCAAUCCCCUGCUAAUCGUUUGAGUCGUUCAUUAAGCUCGCACUACGUGCUGAUGCUCUUGAACCUAACCCAAGAUCUUUGUAUAUAGAGUCAGUCAAGUGGAGUAGGGUCCCACAUUCUGGAUCCCCAUGUUUUCAUUUAUUCAAGCUCACCCAGGCCAGGGUUAAGAGCUAUGAGGUCCAACCCUCAUUACCUUUCAUCUUCUCACCCUGACGGUCAAUGUCAGUGGUUAAGAGCCUCAGACACCCCUUCCAGUGUUGGCUUGUUUGUCGAGGUUGAUAUGACCCCUUGACUAAAGCCCAACCUUAUAUGAGCCGCUUGUGUGCAUAUAGAAUGUGAUGAUUGCUUUUAAUGUUUAUCUGCUUUUGCUUCUCAUCUCCUUUCUGUAGGAGUCGUAUGAUCAACUUUCGAGGAAGUUGAACGUACGUAGAGAUAGACUUGAGUUGACUCACUACCUGUGUGAGUCAAACUCUUGUUAGAGACCUCAACCUAGGGUUAUAAUUUGCAUGAUGACUAUUAGGCUCGAGUCAGUCUCUCUUUUAGUCUGUUAUUCCCUUGGUCUCUGGUUAGGAGAAAGUUUCUCCCCUGUUAAGGGGAACUACGUUGCCCUGAUCCUCAUACCAGAUGAGGUACGUAGGCAGGAGAUCGUGCGAGAUCUCUCCGGGCACCCUUUUUCUUUUUUGCGUGUGUUUUGCUUGACAACUACUAGGCUCGAUUUCAGACUCCCUUUUAGUUUGUCAAUUGGAGAACCUUUGGUGUUCGCUGGUUAGCGAUUACUUAUUUGUUUGGAGUCGGAUGUAAGUCCAGGUUUGGCAUUCUGUUUCCUGGUUUGUUUGUGUUUGGAGUCGGAUGUAAGUCCAGGUUUGGCGUUCAGUUUCCUUGUGCUGUUUGUUUGGAGUCGGAUGUAAGCCCAGCUAUUGGCAUUCCGUUUCCUUGUUGAGUUUCUUUUGACGUCUCAGCGUCUUUGUGUUGUGUUUUGUUUCGGCGUGCGUUAGCCGAACUACGACAUCUCUGAUUCUCAUUCCAGAUGAGAUACGUAGGCAUAGGAUGCGAUAUCCUAGCGAGCCCGUUUCCCCUUGUCCCCGAACUACGUCGACUCUGAUGUUUGUGUCUGACAAACUACGUAGGCCCAGGAUGUGACAUCCUGCCGAGUCCCCUUCCUCCAUCUUCUUUCACCUUUUUGCUUAUUCCAGUGUGUGUGCAUUCUUUGAGCAGUUUUUCAGCAACCUUUUUCUAUUCUUUUGAGCGUGGAUCCCGUCGAGUACGACGGACGUGAGGGGCGCUAAUACCUUCCCCUUGCGUAACCGACUCUCGUACCUUGCAAUCUCUGGUCGUAAGACCAUUCCUUUCCCUUUUUCAGGUUUACUUCGAGCGUUUCCUUUCCCUCCUUUGGGAUAAAUAACGCACGAGGUCGUAAGACCAUUCCUUUCCCUUUUUCAGGUUUACUUCGAGCGUUUCCUUUCCCUCCUUUGGGAUAAAUAACGCACGGUGGCGGCUCUGUGUCUUUUCCCGCCGGUUGUUUUUCGUGUUGCGACAGUUGGCGACUCUGCUGGGGAAUAAUAAGAAGUUGACCUCUGACUGGUCCAUCUUCCCUAAGCUAGUCGAUCCUAGCGCUCUUUAGGAUAAUUUUGGUUGCUUUUGCUGCUCUAUUUAUUGCAUUUAUGAUUAUUAUACUAUGAUUGUAUAUAUUUGUAUAUGUGUUUGCAUGCAUCAUAUUAUCAUUGUGCUGGACUUUGUACAGGUUGGUUCCUCUGAUUUGGGGUGGGUGUUCUGAGUGGGGCUAAAACCCAGACCCGAGUAUACACCUAGGAUUAGCGUGGUCUCACGUUCUUUCCCGGAUCUUUGGUUUAGAUGAUCUUAUGAGAGCUGCAACGGCACACCCGAAAGGGCAAACCCGUUAAGUAUCUUGUCCGAUUGUCGAGACCAUUAUCCGCCUUAGGAUGACCUUGUUAGAAUUCACCUGUGAGGGGAGGGUUUGAUUCCUGCAGAUGCAUGUUCUGAUGGUGACUUUCUGAUGGUGACUAUUGGUUCAGUUUUGAGCUCGGUCCUAUGUGUGAGGCGGAUUUAUGGAUUUAUUUCUGAGAUGCCGGAGUUCUGUCCGUGGUAUUUAUCAGUGGGGAUCCGUUUAUUUCAGGAUUCCCUGGGUUGGUACAGAUGAUUUUGUUGUUAUCAGAUCAGUGGUUUUCCAGUGAUGAUGGUGAUAUAUCCUUCGGUUCCGUUUAUUUCGGAACUCUGAGUUGGAUUUAUGGUUGCUCAGUACCUCAGAUGGUUGUGAUUAGUUUAGAGACCAGGGCUUCCAUGCAGUGGAUGUUCAGAUGACUUGGAGGAUGGCAUAGUGCAUUGCAUUCAUACAUCAACAUCAUUCCCAUCUUGCAUUUAUCCACAUCUAACUCAUGUUUAUCCAUAUGCAGGGGACAUUCUUGAUUGAAAUCCUGGUUGAGAGACUUCUUUGCUCCAGAUAUGAGGCCCGACUUGAAGAAUGAUGUUGUAUACAGUUUCUUUGAUCCAGAGAUUGAUGCACUGAAAGAGAUGAUAGCAUUGAUUACACCUGACCAUGUGGGGAUGUUCCGUGAGGCUUAUGGACUUGAAGAAUGAUGUUGUAUACAGUUUCUUUGAUCCAGAGAUUGAUGCACUGAAAGAGAUGAUAGCAUUGAUUACACCUGACCAUGUGGGGAUGUUCCGUGAGGCUUAUGGGGGUAUUCUGAAGGUGUUUUUCAGGCUUACAGAUGAUGAUAGGAGCGUCAUCCAUACUCUUCUCCAGUUUUAUGACCCUGGUUUGAGAUGUUUCAUCUUCCUGGAUUACCUGUUGGGACCUUUGAUGGAAGACUAUGCCAGUAUCCUGGGUAUUCAGGUCAGGAACCAGAUUCCAUUCUAUGUCACUAAGGAUGAACCUGAUGUUGCUGAGAUCUCUCGUGCUCUUUAUUUGAUCCCAGAAGUGACUAAGGGGGGUUUGAAGGAGAAGGGAAAGUUGCCUGGUUUUCAUUUGAGUUUCUUGGAGGCCAAAGCCAAGGAGCAUGUUGUUUUAGGUGAUUGGAAGGUUGUCUGUGCUCUGCUUGCUGUGAGCAUUUAUGGAAUCAUCUUGUUCCCUAAUCAGAAGAACUUUGUAGACAUUAAUGCCAUCCGGGUGUUUGCGCAGAGGAAUCCUAUUCCUACCUUGGUUGGGGAUGUCUAUUACUCGGUCCAUAAUCGGAACGAGAAGCGGCGUGGUGGAUUGAUCAGAUGUUAUGCUCAACUAUUACACAAAUGGUCCAUGGGAUAUUUGCCUUCCAGAGGUGCCUUUGUCUUUCUUGACCAUACUGUGAAUUGGGCGACCAAACUGAUGGGUUUGCGAGCCAAGGACAUAGCUUGGACUCACAAUGGUGUGGCGGGACGAGACUUCAUUUACAGUUGUGGGAGCUUUCCCAAUGUGCCUCUCAUAGGAGUUCAGGGUUGCAUUAAUUACGACCCGACGCUUCUUAGGAGACAAAUGGGGUUUGCUAUGGAGGUUCCUCCUCUCGAGUGUGAGAUUCAGGAGUCUUUCUAUUUCCCGGCUGAGGGUAAUCCGACACGGUUGAGGCAAGUGUCUGGAGCAUGGCGUAACAUUCAGAGAAAGGGCAAGGUUCCUUUUGGUAGGGUUAAUAAUAGGUCUUUUCCUCUGUUUGAUGAUUGGCUCAGAAAGAGGAUUGAGCUCACGCAUCUACCAUUUCCUGGGGGUGAUCCUUGGUAUCCAUUGAUUGAGGGGCCAUGUUCUUCUGUCAGUAUGGAAGAAUUCCUUGAGAUGAAGAGGGAGAGAGAUCAACUACAGGCAGAGAAGAUUGAGUUGGAAAUGAGUGUUGCUAGAAUCCAAAUGGCUAAUCAGGAAAUCAAAGGGAAAAUAGAAGACCAGGAUAAGAGGCAUGCCUUGGAGGUGAAGCGCUUUGAGAUAGACACCGCCUAUUACUGCAAGAUCAGCCAAGCUUUGAAGUCAUCUACAAAGGAGCACGAUAUCACCAAGGAGAAGUUGGCUAGAGCUUUGAGAGUCAUUGAAGAUGAGAAGAAGAGACAGGUCCUUGUGAAGACUCAGAGGGAAGCCAAAGUCAAAGUCCUUAUCGCCGAGUGGGAAGCAAAGCUGAAGGUUAAGGAAGAAGAGAACGCGAAGAUUAUUGCUGAGAGAGAUCACUAUCUUGCUGAGAGGGACCAUUAUUUCCGACAGAUGAAGAUUCACCAGAAGGAGGUGGGGAGACUGCAGCAGGAGAACACUGAGCUCAGGUUCGCCGUGAAGUUUACCAAGAUGGUUGAUGAUGCAGAGCCGUCUAUGGGACCUUCUUCAGUGUAGACUUUUGUUGUUAUGUGUGGAUUACCGUCAGGCAUGUUGACGGAAUUCACGUGCUUGUAUUUUCUUUCUGAUUCUGGAGAAUUGUAAUUUGAUUUGUAUCAGCCUGAUGUAUGACUCUCGCACGUACUGUGCGCUUUUGAUAUACAAUGGUUGUUAUCAUUCGGUGAUCGAUCUUCAAGCUUUAUUUGCUUUCUGUGCACUCACAUAAUACACACAUGGUCGGGUGAUAUCUUUGCUAAAUCAUAACUCUCUGCUCUGUAUGGUGAAACCAGAUGAUUGAUGCCAAAUUGUUGCUGGCGAAUUAUUAUCUGUCUCGACGAAACCAGGAUCAAAAGACAGAGUGUUCCUCAUAUGGAUAGACAUUGCAUUCAUGCGUGAGUCAUAAUAACCUGUCUUCUGUUUUGCAGGUGUCAGUUUCUAACAUGUUUGAUUGACUCAGGAACGAUGAAUCCACCCAACGCUGACAUUCUCGAGCUGAAAGAGAAGAUGAGUGAGCUGAUCAGUGUCAUGCAAGAGUUCGCCUUGGGGCAGAAAGCAAUCGCCGAGAAGGUGGAGAGGAUUGAGAGCUGGCUGAAGAUGGGGAAGAUACAAGGAAAUGCUUCGUCGUCUGGAGUAAAGAAGCCCUUUGGCGAUGGUCAGCGCGAGAAGGAGGUUGAAUCAAGUGAUGUGUCUGCCCAAAGGGGACGCGGUAGCGAUCGUUAUCACCCGUAUGCUGCUACAGUAAUGAUUCCUGCUGGUAAUCAAUCUGUACGACAGUAACAGCAGCCACCUCAACAAAGAACACAAAGAGUUGGGUGUCAAGCGAGAAGAAGGAUGACUGAUCGUCAGUUUGAUAAGCCACCCAUGGCGUAUGCUCUUCUGUUUAAGAGGUUGAAGGACCUUGGGUUGGUUCAACCGAGGACGUUGGCUCCGGUAGGAUCAUACCAAAGGCUUGCAGGUUACAAUGAGAACAUCAAGUGCGAGUUCCAUUCUGGUGCACCCGGGCAUAGCAUUGAGGGUUGUAAAGCUUUUAAGCAUGUCGUUCAAGAUUUGGUGGAUUCUAAAGCCAUCAAUUUUGCACCGACACCGAAUGUUAAUGCUAACCCCAUGCCGGUGCAGGGUCCUAUGGGGGUGAACGUGAUGUCAGAAGAUAAGAGAAAAAUAGAGGUGACAGAUGUGGAUCAGUUGAGGACUCCAAUGUCUGUGGUCAAGAGACAUUUGAUGAAGAAUGGAGUUUUCCCUGGCUGUGAUAAUUGUUGUGCUGCUUGCACUGUCACUACGAAUGGGUGUGUGAUGUUGAGGGAGACGAUUCAGAGAGUGAUGGAUAGGGGACGUCUCCGAUUUGAGAAAGUUGAUUGGGGGGAAGAAAAUAUCUUUGUCAACCAACUGUCAUCGUUCAAAUAUGUGGAAAUGGACGGUGAAAUAUGGGAAACACCGAGCCAGGCAUUCGAAACCGUCAAGGUGGAGAAUGUUGUUUUUGUCAAAGAAGAGAAGAAGCCGUUCAUUUCUUCGUAUAAGCAGGCCACCGAGGUGGUAAAGAGUGGAGAAGCCCCAGGUUGGGGGAGGAUGAUUGAUAUCGCCGCCAAAGAAGAUAGGUUUGGGGUUGGUUAUCGAUCGGACCAGGGCUCGUCUGGACAGAGUAGAGUACGUCGUCAACCAUUCACGUUCACCAGUGCUAGAAUGCUGGAUCCAGAUCGCAUCUGUGCGGUGGGUGAAGAGAUCGACAGUGACUGCGAGCUCGAUGGUUGGAUAAAACCGUGCGUACCAGGGAUGGAAGUCCAGAACUGGAAGGCCGAAAAGAUCAUCACUGUCACUCUACGUGAAGAGUAAUAUUUCUGUUUUUCAAUACUGUUUGCAUGAAAGCCAUACGUUUUGCUCGAAACGUAAUGGUUCAUUGUAAGGGCCACCUCAUGUGUUUCAUUUUGCAACAUUUUGCAUCAGUAAUAAAUGGAUGAAAAAGUGUAAUUUUCGCCACAAGGGACAAAAAGUAAAUAAAAACGAGUUUAAAAAUAACAAUAAAAAUGGCAAUGUUUAUUUUCAUUUUUCUUUCCUUUUGAUUGGCUUCGUUCCGACUUUUUUAUUCUCCGGAUCUCAUUGAUAACAAUCCUGUUACACCCUCAUAUGACUUCGACAAUCCGAUCUAUCAUGUCGAAGAAGAAGGCGAAGAAGAUUGUGAACUGCCGGAGGAAUUAACCAGAGUGUUGAAACCAGAGGAGAAGGUGAUUCGACCGCAUGAGGAACGAGUUGAGCUUGUUAACCUGUGUACCGAGGAGGUCAGGAAGGAAGUGAAGGUUGGGGCCGCCUUGGAGGCGAGUGUCAAGAGCGGAGGUGAUGCGAUUCGGUCUCAAGAACGCCGGUGCCACGUAUCAAAGAGCUAUGGUGACUUUGUUUCAUGAUAUGAUUCAUCAUGAAAUCGAAUGCUAUGUUGAUGACAUGAUAGCAAAGUCCCAAACAGAAGAGGGGCAUUUGGAAGACUUGGCCAAGUUGUUUGACCGGUUGAGACAAUUCAAACUGAGGUUGAAUCCAAAUAAGUGCACUUUCGGAGUGCGGUCCGGUAAAUUGCUGGGGUUUAUUGCGAAAAAAAAAAGGAAUUGAGGUUGAUCCUACUAAAGAAAAAGCAAUACAAGAAAUGCCUGAACCGAGAAUAGAGAAGGAGGUUCGUGGUUUCUUAGGUAGAUUGAACUACAUUUCACGGUUCAUAUCUCAUCUAACAGCCACGUGUGAACCCAUAUUCAAAUUGUUGAGAAAAGAUCAAACGGUCAGGUGGAAUAAUGAUUGCCAAACGACAUUUGAAAAGAUAAAAGAGUAUUUGCAGGAGCCUCCGAUUCUGAUGCCUCCUGUGGAGGGACGACCAUUAAUUCUGUACUUGACAGCCCUCGAGGGGUCUAUGGGGUGCGUACUGGGGCAGCAUGACGAGUCUGGUCGAAAAGAGCAUGCAAUUUACCUUAGCAAAAAGUUUACCGACUGUGAAACAAAAUAUUCACUGCUCGAGAAAACUUGUUGUGCUUUGGCAUAGGCUGCUCGCUGACUAAGACAGUAUAUGCUGGUUCAUACCACUUUAUGGAUUUCCAAGAUGGAUCCGAUCAAGUAUGUAUUUAAGAAGCCAACAUUGACCGGACGGGUUGCAAGCUGGCAAAUGAUUUUAACCGAAUACGAUAUUCAGUAUACCUCUCAGAAAGCAAUCAAGGGGAGUGUAUUGUCUGAUUACCUCGCCCAGCAACCCAUUGAGGAUUAUCAACCGAUGAAGUUUGAGUUCCCUGAUGAGGACAUCAUGGUUCUCGAUUCGAAAGAUUAUGAUAAAUCGAUCCCGGAGGAGGGGCCUGACCCCGAAUCCGAACGGAUUCUGAUGUUUGAUGGGGCCGUUAAUAUGAAUGGUCGUGACCUAUGAGGAUUGGCACGAGAUGUUGCCGUUUGCAUUGCACAGGUAUCGAACCUCGGUGCGUACAUCUACUGGGGCAGCGCCUUUCUCACUCGUGUAUGGGAUGGAAGCCGUGCUACCAGUCGAGGUUCAGAUUCCUUCUUUGAGAGUCCCGAUGGACGUGAAACUGGAAAAGGAUGAAUGGGUAAGGACUCGGUACGAAGAGUUGAGCCUGAUUGAGGAAAAGAGGCUGGCAGUCGAUUGUCAUGGGCAGUUGUGCCAGCAGCGAAUGAAGCGUGCUUUUGACAGAAAGGUGCGACCUCGUGUGUAUCACGUGGGAGAUAUGGUGCUGAAAAGGAUCCUUCCUCCUCAGAACGAUCGUAGGGGCAAGUGGACACCCAAUUAUGAAGGUCCGUUCGUGGUCAAGAAGGUUUUCUCUGGCGGAGCCUUGUUGUUGACGACCAUGGAUGGCGAGGAUUAUGGCGAGGAUUUUCCAUCCCCUGUGAAUGCGGACGCAGUUAAAAAAUACUUCGUAUAAGAGACCCGCUGGACGAAAAGAAUAAAAUAGUCCAGGCAAAAAUGGGCAUCCCGGCGAACCAGAAAAAAAAAUGAAAAAGGUUCGGGCAAAAAUUAGGGAUAAAAAGAGAAAAAAACUGUACACCCGGCAAGUAGAAAACCCCGCAAGGGCGACUUGGGCAAAAAAGGGUAUCCCGAUGGACUGAAAACCCGAAAGGGCGAUCCAGGCAAAAGAGGGAUUGAAACGAACAACUGCGUCUAGCAUGAUCGUUUGUGUUUUGGUUAAGACACAUGGAUAAUCCCUGGCAGAGAUCAGUCGGAAAUGUCUUGUUCAGAAGGCAGAAAGCACAGAGAGUCUGAGGACAUGUGGGGUGUAACCGAGUUGGAACUCGAUGAGAUCACGGGUUCACAUUGCCAUUAGGAUAGAUUUUUCCUUUUGUGUGCAAUUACCUCUUUUCAGGGAUUGCUUCCUGUGUAUUGCUCGGUUUUUGAGCCACCUCUUUUCAAUCAAUAAAAUGCAUAUUCAGUCAAAUAAUUUUGUUUUUGGUUUUCAUUACCGCUUUGAGUGCAAAAACAUCCGUUUAUUUUGAUAAAGAAUAUUUGCAUUUUGAGACAUACAGGUCCCUUCCAAUGCAUGUUCAUAAGAUUGAAAGCCUGAAAUCUUAUUCGGAAGAUUGAUAAAGAAUAUUUGCAUUUUGAGACAUACAGGUCCCUUCCAAUGCAUGUUCAUAAGAUUGAAAGCCUGAAAUCUUAUUCGGAAGGUUGAGUGACCUAGGUGUUGAAAUUUUGGCACGCCUGGGGAACGUUUUUAUCUAACGAUCUCUUUUGCAGGUGCUGUUAGAUAUUUUCACUCACUUGCAGGUUGUGAUGUGAAGCUUUUUGACCCCGUGGAGUCCAGUCAGGGACAAGGGAUUGAAGGAUGGUGAAAAGACGGCGAAAGACGUGCGACGAUCCUGGAGGUUUAAUCAAGAAGACUCUUCAAAGUCUGGAAAAGUGGAAAGAUGACACUGGAUUUAGAUGGUGAAUACCAGGGUUCGACGAGUCGACGAGUGUUUCGUGUCAGAUUUUCCUUAUUUCCCCUAGCAGGGUCGGGAUUGUUAUCUCCCCAGCGGGUUCGAGAUCGGUGUUUCCUCGGCAGCCAGGCCUGAAGGUUGUUGUGUCCCCUAGCAGGGUUGAGAUUGUUAUGUCCCCAGCAAGUCGAAGAUUGUUGUUUUCCCCGCAGAGUGCGUUGGUAGCUGUUUCCCUAGCGAAGUCCCCAAGCGGAUCGGGUUUAGUGGAGGUCAUCCCUGGUGAGGGUUGUCCUUUCCCCAGCAGCAGUGUUAUUUCCCGGUAGGUUGGAGAUUUGGAGUGGUACCAGGUUCCUCAGCAGAGUGCCUCGAGCUCCCCAAUAGAGUCCCUUGGAAGGGAUACCUUUUUAUGCAUUCAUCAUUUAGAGAAGCAUAGCAUAUUGCAUACCUUAUUGCGUAGCAUUUCCAUGGUUAUGGAGCAUUACGCUGAAAAAAAUCAUCAUGCAUCGGCAUUGUGAGCAUAAGCUAGUCUCACGCCGUGGUUACCAUUUGAGAAUUGGUUUAGCUGGUUGGUGAAGAUGUUACUCAAGCCGUGGUUACCGUUUGAGAAUUGGUUUAGCUGGUUGGUGAAGAUGUUACUCAAGCCGUGGUUACCGUUUGAGAAUUGGUUUAGCUGGUUGGUGAAGAUGUUACUCAAGCCGUGGUUACCGUUUGAGAUUUGGUUUCGCCGGUUGGUGAAGAUGUUACUCAAGUUGUGGUUACCGUUUGAGAUUUGGUUCCGCCGGAUGGCGAAGAUGUUAUUUUGCGGAGUUUAGCAUCAUGACGUUGGAGCAACAAUGUUCCCCAGUAGUGCGAUGUUGGAGGAAAAUUUUCCGUCGAGCGGAGAUGGAAAUAAAGCUUAAAGAACGUUACGCGAUCAGCACGAAAAUCGAAGAAUGGAGAAAAGGAAGUGUUGCGGCAUUUUCUGGAGAACGGGGUUCAAAUGGAGAUUGGAGUUGAAGAUUAUGUCUGGGAUGAGGUCCUCAGGAUUUUCUUCUGAUCAUGUGUCACCUUAGACUUUGGCGAGGCCAACAGAAGUCGGUAUGGGUGUCUUCGGAGGAAGAAAUGCACAUGUUACCUUCCUUUUGUGAAGGUGUACCCUCUGAUAUGUCGCCAUCAGAGUGGUGUUUUGGUGUUAUUUCCGGUGUUGCCAGUGGAAUUAUCACAAGAAAAUGGAGAACAGGGUUCAAAUGGAGAAAGGGAGACACGGGGUGUUUUCUGGAGAGCGGGGUUCACAACGGCGAUCGCAAGUUAUCGUCAGGCGAUUGGGGUUCAACUAGAGAACAGGGUUCAUGAUUUGGCAAACAAGAGUAAUAUGAAGUGGUCGGGGUUCAAAUGCGGUGAUCAGGGAUCAUACGCGUGAAAGGAAAUAAGUUUCGGGGUUCAAGAAAAACAAAAAAAAAUCAAUCAAAAUCAAUCAGAAAGUUUUGGGGUUCAAGAAAAGCAAAAAGUAUAAUAAUAAUCCCCAGCGGAGCGCAAAUUGUUCGUUUGUUCUUGGUAUUCAAUCACUCUUCACCCUGAUCAUCUGAAAGCCGAGGCUGUUCAUAUCGACAGGUUCACAGUGGAUUGAAUAGGGGUAGCUGUAACACCUCAAAAUUUGCCCUCCUCUUCUUGGGACUAGUUUAGCAUAUUGCAUUUCAUGUUUUAGGACAUUAGGCAUUCGCAUAUUGCAUAUCAUAUGGAAUAAGAGAUCAUCCUCUAAUGUCUUGUUCAGAAGAUGAAGGUGGUAUAUGGUCCAAGCCUGAGGGUCUUAUUGAAUUGAUGAUCAACCAUCUGAGGGUUUGCAGUGCAUUAGGGUUUCUUGAUCCUUCAAAGGUUGAGCAGUGUCUUGAUUGCAAGGGUAUAUUACCAUCAUCAUGGUUAAUUGAUGAUCAACCAUCUGAGGGUUUGCAGUGCAUUAGGGUUUCUUGAUCCUUCAAAGGUUGAGCAGUGUCUUGAUUGCAAGGGUAUAUUACCAUCAUCAUGGUUAUGUCAUCCUCAAGGGCUUCACUAUGCAUGCUCAAGUUCCUUGGGGUUAGGGUUUUGACCUCUGGUCAACCCUAAUCAAUGCAUUCUUCUAGUCAGGGUUUAUCAAGGAGAUGAGGUAUUUGUUGAUGAUGAAGAUCACAUGGUUAUGUGGAGAGUUUAUAUGGGCUAGGGGUUUCAUUUCUGAGCCAAUUCCUCAAGUGGUGGAGGUUCAAGGUCAUCAGUGCAUUGCCAAGUCAUCUAGCGCCCAUAAAAGUCAACUGAAAGCUAGGAGGUGGAGAAAUGAGUCUCAACACUUCAUUCAUGUCCAAAAGAGGUUUAUUCAUCAUGUCAAACAUCAAUCUUGAAGAAUUUGAAGCCAGAUCAAAAGUUUCCCAAAAUGGAAAGUGACCUGUAAUUGAAAGUUUCCAAAAAUGGAAAGAUUUUGGUUCAAAUUCAACUUGACUUUCCAACAUCAAAGAAGCUUCAAAUGAACUUUUGGUGUACAUGAAAGUUGAAGAUCUUUCUCUCCUCUUUCCAAAAAGUCCUAUUUCAUGGAUUUAUGAUGAAUGGUUGAGAAGUUAUGAUCCAAUGAUUGCAAAGUGUGCAUGGAACUUCAACAUGGCAUAACUUUUGACUCAAAACUCCAAAUGAAGCCACUCUUUUUGCAAAAUUCUUGUCUUGACCUAUAUUUUCCAAAUCUAUCAUUGCAUUGCAUGAAAUUUAAUCACAUGAUCAUUUGUUCAUGCAUGUUCAUUUUGGAGGGAAAGUUGAAAAUUCAAAUUUGGUGCAAGCUACAAACAUAAUUCCAAUCCCAUUGUGUUCAUUAGGUGAUUUUGAGUGAAUGUGAAGCAUUGCAUGCUACUGUUCACGUGUGAAUUUGCCAUGCACCACACACUUUUCCAAUUUUGGUCAUGCACCUCAUAUUUGAUUAACUUUUCAUUAACCAUUGCUUAAUUAAUUUUUCAGCAUGAUUAACAUAUAGUAUAAAGCCUUAAUCAUAACAGAAUUGUUCAUAACAUCACAUUCUAGAUCUCAAAUUUGCUUUCCCUCCAUUUUUGCUCUCAUUUCAAAUUUNUGGUUCAAAUUCAACUUGACUUUCCAACAUCAAAGAAGCUUCAAAUGAACUUUUGGUGUACAUGAAAGUUGAAGAUCUUUCUCUCCUCUUUCCAAAAAGUCCUAUUUCAUGGAUUUAUGAUGAAUGGUUGAGAAGUUAUGAUCCAAUGAUUGCAAAGUGUGCAUGGAACUUCAACAUGGCAUAACUUUUGACUCAAAACUCCAAAUGAAGCCACUCUUUUUGCAAAAUUCUUGUCUUGACCUAUAUUUUCCAAAUCUAUCAUUGCAUUGCAUGAAAUUUAAUCACAUGAUCAUUUGUUCAUGCAUGUUCAUUUUGGAGGGAAAGUUGAAAAUUCAAAUUUGGUGCAAGCUACAAACAUAAUUCCAAUCCCAUUGUGUUCAUUAGGUGAUUUUGAGUGAAUGUGAAGCAUUGCAUGCUACUGUUCACGUGUGAAUUUGCCAUGCACCACACACUUUUCCAAUUUUGGUCAUGCACCUCAUAUUUGAUUAACUUUUCAUUAACCAUUGCUUAAUUAAUUUUUCAGCAUGAUUAACAUAUAGUAUAAAGCCUUAAUCAUAACAGAAUUGUUCAUAACAUCACAUUCUAGAUCUCAAAUUUGCUUUCCCUCCAUUUUUGCUCUCAUCUCAAAUUUAAAUUUCUUUCACAUAACACCUUGAUUUUAUUGCAUAAUCAUGAUCACUAAGCUUCAUUGAGUAUGGAUCAAGCUUUGAUUUGAAGAAUUCGAGCCAGAAUCAAGCACAUCAAGCUCAAGAACAUGAAGAUGGAAGUUGCAAUCUGAUCAAGAUCCCAACCAUUUCAAGCUUCAAUUCGUGCCUAAAGCUUCAAUAUACAAGUGAUAGAGGAGAUCUGGACAUUGCUAGGCCUUGAAUACGCUGUUUCCUCAUUCUUCUCUUCAAGAGGUUGGAAAUUCGAAACUCUUGAUUCUUCUUUUUAUGUGCAUAGACUUGUAGAGCUUUUCAUGCUGAGAAUUCUGAUAUAGAUUUCAUGGAAAAUGGAUGAAUAUUGGUUGAGUUAUGUUGAUUUAAAGUUUGUGUGUUAAAAAUGUUUUCAAUCGAUUUACAUGAUCCAUGGACUUUUAGACUUAAUUAAUGCUGGAUUCGUGUUGUACAUGAGAUAAGCUUUCGUUUGAUAUAAGCCAUGCGCGUUUCUGGAUUUUUUUUUUGGUGUUCAUCACUGUAGCUCCGCCGUUCCAAUGAAGAAGACGGUGGAAACCACCGUCCCUCCACCACGCGUGAAUAGUGCGCGUGCUUCCUGGUUCAAGCGCCUAGGGCUUACUGUUUGAGCGCCUGUCACCAAUGUGUCUCGUGUUCGAUUCCACCUUGCCAUGCAAUUUUUUCAUUUCAUUUGUUUUCCAAUUUUGAAACGGCUGCGUUUUGAUCCUAGCGCGCCAUACCUCCAUUCGAUUCCCGGCUCCAACACUUUUGUUAUUUAUUUCUUCAGCGCCUUCUAUUUUUUCAUGUACAUGGUUCGAUUUCCACUGACACCAUAUUUUCAAAUUCUAUCAACCUUUUCCAUUUCCCUCCAAUUAUCAUAUGAUUUGCUUCAUUUUAUUUCAAUAUUUUCAUUCAAUUUGCAAAAAUCAUAACAAAUAGAAAAUAAAUCCAAAUCACUUCCAAUUUUUUGCUACAUGUUCAUAUGGAUGCCUAUUAUUUUGUGGUUGUGAUUUCUUGAUUUUAUCAUUUCUGGAUUUUUAAUUGUGGACUGUUAUUUGAACAUGAUGCAAAAUCGUGACCAUGUUGUACCAAUUCUUUUUGUGAAAUGCUCAUACAUUGUCCAAUUGAUUUGAAAUUUGGUAUGCUGAUUCCCACAUGUUGUUUGAUUUUUGAGUCUUGGUUGUGCAGCUUUUAUCAUUCUUCAUUCUCUUUUUAGACACAUGAUGUAUGGUGUGACAAGUGUGUCACACAUUUUUGAUGUUGCUCUUGUUCAUUUUCAUAUACAUGUCAAUUGAGCUUUUCUGAUUCCAAUUUUUUGCAUGAUGCUUGUGUUUAACAUGUUGUGUGCACAUAAAAAUUUCCAUGGUUAUUUGACUCAUUUCUGCUUUAGUAUGGAAUUUCUACUCUUAAUGUCCAAUUGUGUGCUUUGUAAUUGCCUUUGCCUUAUUUUAUGCUUUAGAUGGCUCUUCUUAUUGAUUUGAGUUUGAUCCUUUUUAGGACAUGUUCUUACUUGAAUAAAUAUGCUUCAUGUUGAAUAUUGGUUGCUGUUUUGACUUUUUGCUUUACCUUUGACCCUAGUCUUGGUACUAGUGGUUUGUACUCACCUUUUGAGCUUUGCAUUUCAGGUUCAAGCUUCUAGUCUUAAUGGUUGAUGCAAUCUCAUGACUUGAGAUGCAAAUCUGCUUUAUCCACUAACCUUUGUUAUGUUGUAGGUUCCUUGGUGAUGAACUCACUUGAGUUGUUGAUUUGUUGACUUGCCUUGUGUGCAUAUUGGUUGUAACACUGUUGACUGUUUGUUGGAUUUGUCUGAAUGUGAAUAUUGACUUGUUUGACUUUCUUACAGGUACUUUAGUCGCUUUAUCUCAUUGCUUGAGCUUUGCUUUGCUUGUGGUUGGUAUACCACUUAGGUAACCUCUCUAACUCCAUGUAGUCUGGAAGCCCUGUCGCUUUUUUGGCAGACGUUUGGCUGAAGUCCUCCUUAAGAGGCAAUGACUGUGUUUGUUUACAUUUGUGCUGUUACUUGUUAAAGUCCUCCUAAGUGAAGAGGCAAUUGGCAGAUAGAAGGGAUUAGCAAUCAAUCCCCUGCUAAUCGUUUGAGUCGUUCAUUAAGCUCGCACUACGUGCUGAUGCUCUUGAACCUAACCCAAGAUCUUUGUAUAUAGAGUCAGUCAAGUGGAGUAGGGUCCCACAUUCUGGAUCCCCACGUUUUCAUUUAUUCAAGCUCACCCAGGCCAGGGUUAAGAGCUAUGAGGUCCAACCCUCAUUACCUUUCAUCUGCUCACCCUGACGGUCAAUGUCAGUGGUUAAGAGACUCAGACACCCCUUCCAGUGUUGGCUUGUUUGUCGAGGUUGAUAUGACCCCUUGACUAAAGCCCAGCCUUAUAUGAGCCGCUUGUGUGCAUAUAGAAUGUGAUGAUUGCUUUUGAUGUUUAUCUGCUUUUUCUUCUCAUCUCCUUUCUGUAGGAGUCGUAUGAUCAACUUUCGAGGAAGUUGAACGUACGUAGAGAUAGACUUGAGUUGACUCACUGCCUGUGUGAGUCAAACUCUUGUUAGACGACCUCAACCUAGGGUAUAAUUGCAUGAUGACUAUUAGGCUCGAGUCAGUCUCCCUUUUAGUCCCGUGUAUUCCCUUGGUCUCUGGUUAGGAGAAAGUUUCUCCCGUUAAGGGGAACUACGUUCCCUGAUCCUCAUACCAGAUGAGGUACGUAGGCGAGAUUGCGAGAUCUCUCCGGGCACCCUUUUUCUUUUUUGCGUGUGUUUUGCUUGACAACUACUAGGCUCGAUUUCAGACUCCCUUUUAGUUUGUCAAUUGGAGAACCUUUGGUGUUCGCUGGUUAGCGAUUGCUUAUUUGUUUGGAGUCGGAUGUAAGUCCAGGUUUGGCAUUCUGUUUCCUGGUUUGUUUGUGUUUGGAGUCGGAUGUAAGUCCAGGUUUGGCAUUCAGUUUCCUUGUGCUGUUUGUUUGGAGUCGGAUGUAAGCCCAGCUAUUGGCAUUCUGUUUCCUUGUUGAAUUUCUUUUGACGUCUCAGCGUCUUUGUGUUGUGUUUUGUUUCGGCGUGCGUUAGCCGAACUACGACAGCUCUGAUUCUCAUUCCAGAUGAGAUACGUAGGCAUAGGAUGCGAUAUCCUAGAGAGCCCGUUUCCCCUUGUCCCCGAACUACGUCGACUCUGAUGUUUGUGUCUGACAAACUACGUAGGCCCAGGAUGCGACAUCCUGCCGAGUCCCCUUCCUCCAUCUUCUUUCACCUUUUUGCUUAUUCCAGUGUGUGUGCAUUCUUUGAGCAGUUUUUCAGCAACCUUUUUCUAUUCUUUUGAGCAUGGAUCCCGUCGAGUACGAAGGACGUGAGGGUUACUAAUACCUUCCCCUUGCGUAACCGACUCCCGUACCUUGCAAUCUCUGGUCGUAAGACCAUUCCUUUCCCUUUUUCAGGUUUACUUCGAGCGUUUCCUUUCCCUCCUUUGGGAUAAAUAACGCACAGGUCGUAAGACCAUUCCUUUCCCUUUUUCAGGUUUACUUCGAGCGUUUCCUUUCCCUCCUUUGGGAUAAAUAACGCACGGUGGCGGCUCUGUGUCUUUUCCCGCCGGUUGUUUUUCGUGUUGCGACACCUAGGGUUAUUUUGACCUUGGUCAAUUGUUUGACCAAAAGUCAACAGUUGCCCAAAAGUCAACCUAAGGUCAAAUAUGACUUUUUGUGUAAUUUUGUACGUUUUAUUUUUUUUAAUGAAACUUUUGAUGUGGUAAUGCGAUUUUUGGCCUUUGAAAAUGUACUUGUAACUUGUAUUCGAAGCUAUAUUGUUCCCUCUAAAGUUGAAUUUGAAUUUGAAUUUGAACUUGAACUUGAUUUGAAUGAACUUUGAAUUUGCAAUGUUAUGUCUUGAAUACAAAAACAAAUAGCCAAACAACUAAAAAUGUAAGACCUCAAAAGAGAAUGGUUAUAAAAAGUCAAUCUUCCAUGGUUGACUUUUGUUGACCAAAGUCAAACUUGAAAAGUAACCUCUAAACCCAAAUGCCACGAUGUAGUCAACAUGAUCCAAAAUGCGUAGACCAAUAUUAUGGUUUCUUAAAGACUUAAUCCAAGACCAAUGAUUAAUAAAAGUUUUGUUGUGCCCACAGCCAAAAGGUCCAGAAGCACAUUGAACAUAGGCCCGCAAACCAUAAUUUAGUGCCUUGUAUCUUAAGAAGAAACCUUUUGAUCAAUGAUAUCAUUUGAAAAAUGCAAUUGUAAAUGAAUGAUCUACAUGACUAUGAGUAUGUAGAUGAACCAUGGUCCAAGGAUAAAAUGAAAAGAAAAAGGUAGGGCAAAUUUUGGGGUAUGACAUGAUUCUGGAGACAACAUGCGGAAAGCGAGCAGACUCCAUGGCGAUUGAAGUCAGUUACCUCAUUGUAGGUGCCAUGUCGCCCUACAAUAUAAUCCUACAUAUACCAUCCAUCAAUGCGUUGAAGGAGAUUAUUUCCACCCGAUAUCUGGUUCUAAAAUACCCGCUUCCUGGAGAGCGAAUCAGGACAAUUCAAGGAGACCAACAAAGUGCUCAAGAGUGUUAUCAGAGCUACCUGAAGAAUGAGAGGGAAGAGCUCUACCUUAUGGGUGCCCUAGAUCUGGUAACCUCUUACUUCCUUUAAUGCAUUCCAUUGCUUGCCUUUGCAUACAUAUAUAUAUAUAUAUAUAUUAUAUAUAUAUAUAUAUAUAUAUAUAUAUAUAUAUAUAUAUAUAUAUAUAUAUAUAUAUAUAUAUAUAUAUAUAUAUAUAUAUAUAUAUUUAUAUUAUAUAUAUAUAUAUAAUAUAUAUAUAUAUAUAUAUAUAUAUAUAUAUAUAUAUAGUAUAAUAUAUAUUAUAUAUAUAUGAACGAAUAGUCUCAUUAGCUUGCCUAGCGAUUCUGAGAGCGAUGAGUCUCCCGUAGUUAGGGUGGCAAUAUCUUUUGGUUCAAACACUUCCUCCUUGAUCAUUGAUUAACUGGGUCAUGAGGUAAUAUCUAUAAUUGAUGAUUUUGAAUUAGCGAGACCCUCUAGGGGUUCGCCUGCUUUAUUGACUCCAGAAGUGCAGGUUUCCAUUCUAAAUGGUGACGAUGCUAAAGAAUAUAUACAAAUUCAUCAAAAAUCCUACAAUCGAGAUCCCAUAGAUACCGACAUUAAGGACCAUCUAAAACGUGGGCCCCAACCAUAUGCAAUUUGUUGGCUUGAAGCCUUUGAAACCUUUAAGGUCAAUGAACUAUCCCUAAAAAGGGUUAUGUUAGUAUAGCCGACUGAUGUGAGAAGAUAUAAUUGGGUGGACGCUGAAAUAGUGGGGACCCCCUUCAUUUUAAGUACUCAAACAAUCGUAAGUGUGACCAAUAUCACGAUCGGUCAUUCUUCUGAUUGGUAUGUCCUUCCGGUAGAUCCAGAAAAAAGGAUAUGAAACGUCUCUUUAUGAGUGUCUAUUUACCAGGGUGAAUCUUCGGUUUCCUCUAUGUGAAUUUGAGGUGGAGGUGUUGAAGUACCUAAAAGUUGUCCUCUCUCAGCUUCAUUCGGUUUCUUAGGCUUAGUUGAAGAUGUUCCAAUUUUGUGAAGGAUAUAGGUCUUGGAAUCCUUUUCCCUGUUUUUUUUCAAAUUGUUUUGAGUUGUACAUAUUUCUAAAAAUGAUACUCGAAAUCAGAGGCUUAUUGAGCUUUGUUAGCAUACUCGCUUCUUCAUCCCUUUUCACUAAUGAUUGGGGCAAUUUUCUGGGGCAUUUCGUGUUGGUGAGGCCAUAAAGUUUCCUUCUCAUCUAGCCUUGCCGAGUCUUCUCGCUUAUGUAAGGGUAAGUUUCUGAAAUAUUGGGAUUGACCUCACUUUUGUUAUGAGCCUCAUAUGUAUAGCAUUUAAAUAGAUUACCUUUAUAGAGUCUCUAUACUAGGGACUCAUCUACAUAGAAAGGUUUGGUCACAACAAAGAGUCGUCUUCCUACCAGAGGAAGAAAUCUAUUGAUACCCACGCUAUUGUGAGUAUGGUCGACCGUCUAGAUAGGAAAUAUGUAUUUGGUGAGGAUAAAAUCCUUGUUUUUUUAACCUGUGUGCUUGUACUUGUAGAUAAAAUGGGCUCUUUACAAAAAGUCUACACCAUUUGCACUUCUCAAUGUGUCAACUCAGGUCCCCUGGCUCAGACUACUACUACUCCUUCCAUAACUCUCGAUGCAUCCUCUGUUGUCGAGGAUACUUCAGCUAUCCCUGGAGCUGACCAACUUAUUCAUGUCAGUACUGCUUUGACUAUGGAGGACCAAUCUCAUGUUGUUACUACCCCGACAAAGAGAGACCCGGACUUGGACCAGAGUCCUCUUCUAGAGAAAAAUUCUCCAAAGUGGGAUCGCCUUUCUAGGGGUUUUACUUCAGGAUCGACCACUCCCCUUCUAAAAAAUCUUGUCAUCCUUCCUUCCUGAAUUCCCCACACCCCCGAGGAUGUUGUUGUUGCUAUAUCCAUGGAGGAUCUGGCUUACCUCUAAAAUCUUCUUGAGGCGGGACGAACAAUAUGGAGAUUUUCUUGAGGAUACCUUAUACACUUACCGGGAGGCUUCUCUAUUUUAAUUAUUUGUUGUUGAUCGAGGCGAAGUCCUAGCCAUGGGUAAUCCUUUCAAAGAUAGAGACACAUGGAAGGAAAAGUGUGAAUCAUUUAUGCGGAAGUGCUCCGACUUUUAGGAGGAAACAUCUUCUCUCCUAUAAAAGGUCUGAUGUAUUGAGGAUCUCUAAGAGGAGGUGAAGGUCCACCGUUCACCUUCUAGUUUAGCUUCUCAUAUCACUGAGUUAGAGUCUUCCUUAGAAGAAGAGAAGAAGCAUCGUCAGGAGACAAUUGUUGCCAUUAGGGAGGCAAAAAAUUGUGACGAUGAGGCUUAGAAAGCCUUUCAAUAGGAGAAGGAGUCCCAUGUUGAGGAUCAGAGGGUUCAUGAUGGCUAGGUGGUUGAGCUGAAUGAAAGAGUCCAUGAGUCUCUUCAGCAUGCUUUAACGAAUGUGUAUAAAGCUUUCGACCAGGAAGUGGAACAGGAAAAAGGAUUCCGCCCAAACAUCCUCAUUCCCAACGUGGAACUAGACAUUUCAAAUUUGUUCAGGACGGGGCUUUGGUGGACAACUCUGGUGUAGUGUCUCAGAGUGAGGAAGCUUGAUUUUCUUUUUCUUCUUUUCCUAUAACGUUAUUUGGGCUUUAUGUCUUUGCAAAGAUAACAAUAUUUACAUAUUUACCUUUACAUUUGGUGCCUUUAUUAAACUUAUGUGCUUGAUAUAUUUUAUUUCUUCCUUAUUGUCAUUUGGUCCGCCGUGUGGGUUGCUAGUCUCCAUGCUUUGGAUCGAUUGACGAGUCCUUGUUGCAUCAGGACUUACUCAUUGUGCUUGUACCUUUAGAUUUGUUCACCUUAUAUGCCCUAUUGGCAUUUGGCGUGUUCAUCGAACUCUAUAGUCCCAAAUGGAGUUCGUGGUUACGAGCUUCGAUUCGGAAAAGUUAGUGUUGUAACACCCCGAUAAAAUAAGAUAAUUAUUUAAAUUGAGUUAAUAAUAUAUUUAUUAAUUUAAUUAAAUAAUUGGAAUUAUUAUUAUUAUUGGAAUAAUAAUUAUUGGAAUAUUAUUGGAAUUAUUAUUAUUGGGUUAUUAUUUUUAAUUUGGAAUAAAAGUUGGAGAGUUCGAAAAGGUCCCCAUUUAGUAAAAAGGUUUAUUUUUCACGUGAAAAGGGAAAGAGACAGAAAGUGGAAAAGGGCAAAGAAGCCCAGAGAACAAGGGUUGAAGGAGGAAGAGCUUGAAGCUUCUUAAAGAUUCGCACGGAUUAACGUCAGGUAAGGGGGGUUUAUCAUGCGUUUAAUGGGUAUUAUGGGAUAAUAUGUAAUGGGUAGUGAUAAACCAUUGAUUUACCUCUGAUUGGAAUAACUUAUGCCUGAAAUUGUGACGUUUUGGGAUGAACGAUCUGGUAUUAAAAUCGAAGGACAUUCGGUAAGAAUUGAUGGCAUAGUGUUAGUAGAAUUGCGAGAUCGAAUAGGUUAUGAAUUCGUGUUAGAUGAUAUGAACGACUAUUGUGAAAAAUUGGACUGUGGAAGGUUAGAAUUGAUAGAUCCGUAGAAGAGAAAGCCAUUGCAGAUCUGGAAAUUCUGGUUUCUGGUCAUACGCGUAUGGACUAGCCAUACCGUAUGAGAUGGUCUGGUACGCGUAUGGCACCUAGGCAAUACGCGUAUGGAUGAGGAAGAUGAUGUUUUGAACGUGUUUUGGUCUCUGUUGGUACGCGUAUGGGGAAUGUGGUACGCGUAGGCAUACGCUAUGGAAUGGUGUUACGCGUAUGGUUUUGGCUGAGAAAUGGGCCAUACGCGUAUGGGACUAGGCAAUACGCGUAUGGGCAGACUUGUGGUUUCCUGAGCUGUUGUUUGUCAGUUUUUAGCUGUUCAGCUGAGUAAUGUAAUUUAGCUGAUGUUGAUAUAUUAGGGAUCAUUCCCCGUUGUUUUGAGUAGUAUAGGUAUUAGUAGAGUGUGCUAUCUACUGUGGUUUGUUAUUUGGCAUGAUAUGAUAUGCUUAUGUGAUAAAUACUGAUGAUGUGUGAUGGUAUGCAUGAUGCUGUGAAUGUAUCAGUUAUGUGUGCAUUUGUGAAUAACUGUUUUAUGGCUUAGAGUGUGAGCAAUAUGUCUAUUCUUGAAUUAUUGUUGAUGAUGUAGCAUUGCUAGGUGAUAGCAUGCAUAUUGUGGCCUUAUGGUGGUAGCUAAUUUCCCAUUGUGAGGAAUUAGUGAGUUAGUCAUUAUGGACUGUUGUCGAUGUUUGCAUGCUAGGUGAAUUAGCGUGCAUAGCAUAGCCCUUGAGGGGUGGUAGCUAAUUCCCGUGGUGAGGAAAUUAGUGAGUGAGUCACUAGGUCUCAAAUGAGUGGGACUAGUUGGACUUGGUAGCCGUGCCUGCUGGAUUUGGACGGUGAGAGGUGAACUAUAUGUUCACAAUAGUCGGUACCGCAUGCAUGGAGUUCAUUGCAUUUGUAUUGUAUGGCGUAUAAUAUGAAUGGAUGUAUUCCAAUAUUAUUACGUGUUGUUUUGUGUUGAGUUGACAGUAUGAUUUUAGUUGAUGUUGCUGUUGCUGAAUGUAUGAUCUGAUUAGGGUGAUGAAUGUGUGAAAUUACUUAAGCACUUACAUGAUGUUUAUAAUGCUUAUAUAUCGAUUGAGGAAAUCACCCUUACAACUAUGUUUUCAGGUAACGGAGCAGUGAUUGAGUAGAAGCUAAUCCUUGGAGUCUAGGUAGUCCUUAGUGGUCAUGCUCUGGUAGAUGUAACAUCGGAUGGGAUGUUUCUAUGUUUUCAUUUGGUUGUUGAACAACUUUACCAUGUAAUGUAUUACAUGGUUUGAAUUUGUUAGUUUUUAUCCGCUGGCGAAUUAAUGCAAAAUGUUUUAUUUUGAUUAAAUAAAUGAGCAUGACAGAAUAUUUUGAUGAUUGGUGGUGAAAUAUGAUUGUGGACACCCUUAAGUGCAUAAUUACUCUGAUUUGGAUAUCUUGUUUAUUUUAAUUAAAUAUUUGGGUAUUUUUAGAAGGGUGUUACAUUAGUGUAUCAGAGCAUAGUCGGUCGAGUCGAGUCGUAAUUAUUCUGUUCCCCUGUACGGGACUAGUGUUGUGUAACCCUAUAGUACUUAUUGUUUUAGCUUGUUGGGUUUUUCAGAAUAGAGAUGGCUGGAGAGGUAGAGACGAUGCUGCAAUUGCUGAGGCUCUGGGUUAUGCCUAGCUGGAGUACUUGGAGGAAAUCCGAAUGUUGUGGGAAUGGGAGCUGCUCGUCAACUGAGUGAGUUCCAGAAGAGUAAUCCUCCAAUGUUCAAGGAGGCAUACGAUCCAGAUGGCCGCUCAGAAGUGGUUGAAGGAGAUCGAGAGGAUCUUCCGAGUGACUGAGUGUGCGCGAUAACCAGAAGGUCAGGUUCGGUACGCAUAUGCCGUCAGAAGAGCAGAUGAUUGGGUGGUGCUACCCGCAGCUGAGUUGGAAUCUGCUGGAAUGAUGAGAUCACUUGGGUUUGUGUUCCGAGAGAGAUUCCUGAGGAAGUACUUUCCAGAGGAUGUUAGAGGAAAGAAAGAGAUAGAGUUCUUGGAAUUGAAGCAGGGCAAUCGGUCUGUUACUGAGUAUGUGCUAAGUUCACAGGCUGUCGAAGUAUUCACUCCCUAUAAGCGAGGCUACUGGGGAAUUUUUCAAAGUGUGUGAGUUUGGAAACGGGUUGCGUCCCGAGAUUAAGCAGGCUAUUGGGUAUCCAGCGGAUCAGAGUGUUUUCCUGACUUGGUUGACUGUUGCAGCAGAUUUUUGAACAGGAUUCCAAGGCUAGAGCAGAGAGCUAUCAGCAAAGGGUGUUGAUAGGAAAGGCAAGAAUCAGAAUGAUCGGGGAAACCGUAUGUAGUUGGAAAAGGUUUCAGAGGCAGAGUGGGAUGAAGAGGCCUAGUGGGGGAGACUCCAGUGCCCCUGGCUAAGUGUUUCAGAUUGUGGUCAGGCUGGACAUCGUAUCCAUGAGUGUACCAGUAAUGAGAAGAAGUGGUUUUAAGUGUGGAAAAGGUGGUCAUUUGGCUGCAGAGUGCCGGUCGACGACUGUGACUUGUUUCAAACGUGGAGAAGUGGGUCAUAUCAGUCCACAGUGUCCUAAGCCGAAGAAAAGAUCAGUCGGGAGGCAAGGUCUUUGCUUUAUCGGGUUCUGAGACUUCUGCAGACGAUUCGUUUGAUCCGAGGUACGUGUUAUAUUAAGGCUUUCCUCUGUAGCUAUUAUUGACACAGGUGCGACUCAUUCUUUAUUCUUUGGAUUGUGCUGUGAAACUUAAGUUAGAGAUAUCUGAGAUGCUUGGAAGUAUGGUGAUUGAUACUCCUGCGAAGGUUCAGUGACUACUACUUCAGUUGUUUAAAUUGUCCUUUGAGUAUUUUUGGUAGAGACUUUGGGAUGGACCUUAGUGUGUCUUCCACUAGUUGCAGAAUUGAUGUUAUCCUGGGUAUGAACUGGUUUGGUGUUUAACCGAGUUUAUAUCAAUUGUUUGAUAGACUGUGACUCUUUCCUGAGAUUGAGGAAGGAAAGAGUUUGUUUCUAUCAGCAGGCAGGUGAAUGAGGCAGUAGUAGACGGGGCAGAGUUGUUUAUGCUGUUAGCGACUUUGGAGGCUAAAGAUAAACUGGUGAUUUGUGAUCUAGCCGUGGUGUGUGAUUUUCCUGAUGUGUUUCCUGAAGAGUGAAUGAAUUACGCCAGAACGUGAAGUUGAGUUUCUCGAUUGAUUUGGUACCUGGUCUAGGCCAAUGUCGAUGGCUCGGUACCGUUGUCUGCUGUUGAGUUAACUGAAUUGAAGAGUCAGUUAAAAGAUCUGUUGGAUAAGAAAUUUAUUCGUCCGAGUGGUCACCGUGGUGCACUAGUGUUAUUUGGUUAAGAAGAAAGAAGGUACUAUGAGGUUGUGUGUGGACUACAGGCAACUGAUAUAAGUGACGAUCAAGAAUCGUAUCCUUUGCCGGAGGAUUGAUGAUUUGAUGGAUCAGUUGGUUGGUGCGAGUGUGUUUCAGCAAAAUAGAUUGAGAUCGGAUAUCACCAGAUACGUGUGAAAACUGAGGAUAUUCAGAAGACUGCUUUCAGAACAAGGUAUGGACAUUAUGAGUAUUCUGUAAUGCCUUUUGGUGUGACUAAUGCGCCUGGAGUAUUUAUGGAGUAUUGAAUAGGAUUUUUCCAUCCGUACCUAGAUAAGUUUGUUGUGGUGUUUAUUGAUGACAUUUGUGUAUUCGAAAUCUGAAGAAGAGCAUGCUGAGCAUUUGAGAGGGUGUUAGGAGUUCUACGGAAAAGAAUUAUUUGCUAAACUAUCCAAGUGUGAAUUUUGGUUAGAAGAGGUUAGUUUCUUGGUCAUGUGAUUUCAAGAGGUGUGUUGUGCUGUUGAUCCUUAAGAUAGAAGCGGUAUCUAAGUGGAAGCUCCGAAGUCAGUUUCUGAGAUAAGAAGUUUUCUUGGACUUGCCAGGUUAUUAUAGGAAGUUCAUUGAGAGGAUUUUCUAAGUUGGCAUUACCGUUGACGAUGUUGACUACGAAAGGGGCAAGCGUUUGUUUGGGACUCAAAAUGUGAAGAAGGUUUCCAGAGUUAAAGAGAAGGUUAACUACUGCUCUAUUUUUGAAUAUUACCGAGUCCGUCAGAACUAUUUGAGGUUUUUCUGUGAUGCUUCAUAUGUUGGGUUUGGGUGGUGUGUUGAUGCAGAUAAGCAGGUUAUAGCUUAUGCUCGAGACAACUGAGGGUUCAUGAGAGGAACUAUCCGACGCACGAUUUAGAGUUGGCAGCUGUGUAUUUGGUUCUGAAGUUGUGGAGCAUUACUUGUACGGGUCAAGAUUUGAGGUUUUCAGCGACCAUAAGAGUUUAAAGUAUUUGUUUUGAUCAGAAAGAGCUGAAUAUGAGACAGAGGAGAUUGGUUAGAGUUUCUGAGAUUAUGACUUUGGUUUGAAUUACCAUCGGGUAAAGCAAACGUAGUGGCUGAUGCAUUGAGUCGGAAAUCAUUGCAUAUGUCCUAUGUUAAUGGUUAAGGAAUUGGAUUUAAUUGAGCAGUUUAGAGACUUGAGUUUGGUGUGUGAGAGUACUCACAAUAGUGUUAAAUUGGGAAUGUUGAAGUUAACAAGUAGUAUUUCUGGAUGAGAUCAGAGAGGGUCAGAAAUCCGAGUGCUUUUGGUUGAUAAGUUGACUUUAGUGAAUCAAGGUCAAGGUGGUGAAUUGCAGAGUUGAUGAGAAUGGUGUUUUGAAUUUGGUAAUCGGGUGUGUAUUCCGGAUGUUACGAACUUAGAAGAGUAUCCUGGAGGAAGGACAUCGUAGUGGCCUGAGUAUUCAUCCUGGGGCUACGAAGAUGUAUCAUGAGUUGAAAAAGUUUUUUUUGGUGGCCGGAAUGAAAAGAGAAUUGCGAGUUUUGUUUAUUCUUGUUUGACUUGUCAGAAGUCAAAGAUUGAGCAUCAGAAGCCGUCUGGGCUAAUGCCAACCGUUGGCUUUUCCAGAGUGAAAGUGGGAUAGUAUCAGCAUGGAUUUUGUUUCUGGUUUACCGAGGACAACUAAGAAUUUCGAAGCUAAUUUGGGUGAUUGUUGACAGAUUGAACAAAAUCGGCUCAUUUCAUUCGAUCAGAAUGGAUUAUCCGUUAGAGAGAUUAGCUGAGUUGUAUAUUGAGAAGUUGUAAGUUUGCAUGGUAUUCCGUCGAGUAUUGUUUCGGACAGAGAUCCUAGAUUUACAUUAAGUUCUGGAAGGUUUGUUAGAGGGCUUUGGAACUAAGCUGAGAUGAGUUCUGCAUAUCAUCCACAGACUGAUGGUCAGACUGAGAGGACGAUUCAUUACUGGAGAAUCUUUUUGAGGGCUUGUUGUUUUGGAAAAAGGAGGUGCUUGGAUUGUUAUUUACCUUUGAUUGAGUUCACCUACAAACAAUAGUUUUCAUUCGAGCAUUGGUAUGGCCCGUUUGAAGCUUUGUAUGGUAGGAGAUGUCGGACACCUUUAUGUUGGUAUGAGUCCGGUGAGAAGUGCUGUGGUUGGACCGGAGAUUGUUCAACAAACUACGGAAAAGAUUAAGAUGAAUUCAGGAGAAGAUGAGAAUUGCUCAAGAGUCGUCAGAGAGAGUUAUCACGACAAGAGGAGAAGAAGUCACUUGAGUUCCAAGAGGGAGAUCUGUGUUUCUUCGUGUUACCCGAUAACUGGGUUGGUCGAGCUUUGAAGUCGAAGAAGUUGACACCUCGAUUUAUUGGUCCUUAUCAGAUUUUGGAGAAGGAAUAGGGGAGGUAGCCUAUCGUAUCGCUUUACCGACGUCACUUGCGAAUUUGCAUGAGGUUUUCAUGUGUCCUCAGUUGAGGAGGUACAUUCAUGAUCCGUCGCAUGUAGUCCAAAUAGAUGAUGUACAGGUGAGAGAUUAACCUGACUGUUGAAACAUCACCUAUGAGGAUCGAGGAUCGAGAAGUUGAAGCAGUUGCGGGGUAAGAGAUUGCUUUGGUAAAGGUAGCUUGGGGAGACCAGCAGGUGGCAAUGUGACUUGGGAACUUGAGAAGUCAGAUGAAGGAGUCUUAUCCUGAGUUGUUCGCUUGAGGUAUGUUUUCGAGGACGAAAACUCUUUAGUGGGGAGAGUUGUAACACCCCAUAAAAAAGAUAAUUAUUUAAUAUUGAGUUAAUAAUAUAUUUAUUAAUUUAAUUAAAUAAUUGGAAUUAUUAUUAUUAUUGGAAUAAUAAUUAUUGGAAUAUUAUGGAAUUAUUAUUAUUGGUUAUUAUUUUAUUGAAAUAAAAGUUGAAGUUAGAAAAGGUCCCAUUUAGUAAAGGUUUAUUUUUUCACGUGAAAAGGGAAAAGAGACGAAAGUGGAAAGGGCAAAGAGAGCCAGAGAACAAGGGUUGAAGGAGAGGAAGAGCUUGAAGCUUAAGAUUCGCCGGAUUAACUCAGUUUAAGGGGGUUUAUCAUCGUUUAAUGGUAUUAAUGGGAUAAUAUGUAAUGGGUAGUGAUAACCAUUGAUUUACCUCUGAUUGGAAUAAUUAUGCUGAAAUUAUGAACGUUUGGGAUGAACGAAUCUGGAUUAAAAUCGAAGGAAAUUCGUAGGAAUUAGAUGCAAUAGUGUUAGAAAUUGCGAGAUCGAAUAGGGUUAUGAUUCGUGUUAGAUGAUAUGAACGACUAUUGUGAAAAUUGGACUGUGGAAGGUUGAAUUGGAUAGAUCUCGUAGCAGAGAAAGCCAUUGCAGAUCUGGAAAUUUGGUUUCUGGUCAUACGCGUAUGGCACUAGGCAAUACGCGUAUGAGAUGGUCUGGUACGCGUAUGGCACUAGGCAAUACGCGUAUGGAUGAGGAAGAUGAUGUUUUGAACGUGUUUUGGUCUCUGUUGGUCGCCGUAUGGGGAGUGGUACGCGUAGCAUACCGCGUAUGGGAUGGUGUUACGCGUAUGGGUUGGCUGAGAAAUGGGCCAUACGCGUAUGGGACUAGGCAAUACGCGUAGGGGCAGACUUGUGGUUUCCUGAGCUGUUGUUGUGCAGUUUUAGCUGUUCAGCUGAGUAAUGUAAUUUAGCUGAUGUUGAUAUAUUAGGGAUCAUUCCCCGUUGUUUUGAGUAGUAUAGGUAUUAGUAGAGUGUGCUAAUACUGUGGUUGUUAUUUGGCAUGAUAUGAUAUGCUUAUGUGAUAAAUACUGAUGAUGUGUGAUGGUAUGCAUGAUGCUGUGAAUGUAUCAGUUAUGUGUGCAUUUGUGAAUAGACUGUUUAUGGGCUUAGAGUGUGAGCAUUAUGUUAUUCUUGAAUUGUUGUUGAUGAUGUGCAUUUGCUAGGUGAUUUACAGCAUAUUGUGGCCUAUGGUGGUAGCUAAUUCCCAUUGUGAGAAUUAGUGAGUUAGUCAUUAUGGACUGUUGUCGAUGUUUUGCAUGCUAGGUGAAUUAGCGUGCAUAGCAUAGCCCUUGAGGGGGUGGUAGCUAAUUCCCGUGGUGAGGAAUUAGUGAGUGAGUCACUAGGUCCUCAAAUGAGUGGACUAGUUGGACUUGUAGCCGUGCCUGGAUUUGGACGGUGAGGUGAACUAUAUGUUCACAAAUAGUCGGUACUGCAUGCAUGGAGUCUCAUUGCAUUUGUAUUGUAUGGCGUAUAAUAUGAAUGGAUGUAUUCCAAUAUUAUACGUGUGUUUUGUGGUUGAGUGAGUAUGAUUUUAGUUGAUGUUGCUGUUGCUGAAUGUAUGAUCUGAUUAGGGUGAUGAAUGUGUGAAAUUACUUAGCAUUACAUGAUGUUUAUAAUGCUUAUUAUAUCGGAUUGAGGAACUCACCUUACAAACUAUGUUUUCAGGUAACGAGCAGUGAUUGAGUAGAAAGCUAAGUCCUUGGAGUCUAGUGUAGUCCUUAGUGGGUCAUGCUCUGGUAGAUGUAACAUCGGAAUGGGAUGUUUUACUAUGUUUUCAUUUUGGUUGUUGAAACUUUACAUGUAAUGUAUUACAUGGUUGAAUGUUGUAGUUUUAAUCCGUGUGAAUUAGCAAAUGUUUUAUUUUGAUUAAAUAAAUGAGCAUGACAGAAUAUUUUGAUGAUGUGUGUGAAAUGAUUGUGUGACACCCUUAAGUGCAUAAUUAUUCUGAUUGAUAUCUGUUUAUUUUAAUUAAAUAUUUGGGGUAUUUUAGAAGGGUGUUAACAGUGUCAUAUGAAUCAUCCCUAGCCAAAGGUAAGGUCAGUCCCUGUCCCCGGGUUUAUCCUAGUUCCACCGUCUAUGUAACACCUACUUUAGUUAAUUAUUAUGUUUAUUUUAAUAUUUAAUUUGUUCUAUGUAUUGAGUGAUUUAUUGUACUUUUUGUUAUUUAUGGUAUUUUGGUAUUUAGGUAAUAUUAAAAAAAUUAGAGAUGUGUUAGAAUUAAGAAGAAAUAGACUUUUUUAAUUAAAUUAGAAAGAUAUGGUGUUGAGUAAGAGCUAGGGUGUGGUGGAGGAUUAGUGAGAAUAAUAGAAUAUCGUUGUAAGUAAAUAAUUGUAUUAUUAAAAUAAUUUAUUAUUUAAAAUAAUUUAGAUAAUUUUGAAUGAAAAAUAAUCAAUUAGAAAGUAGAGGUUUAAGUGAGGUUGGGAAAAUAAUUAGACUUUUAGGUUUUUAAAUAGAAAAGUUAGAAGGGAUUCUGGACAUAAUGUGAAAUUGUGGAAAAGAGGAAGCGAUUGAAACCCUAAGGAGAGCGAUCUAGGAAGGUGAGUGAAGAAUAAUCNGAAUUAUGCAAAUGUUUUAUUUUGAUUAAAUAAAUGAGCAUGACAGAAUAUUUUGAUGAUUGGUGUGAAAUGAUUGUGUGACACCCUUAAGUGCAUAAUUACUCUGAUUGAUAUCUUGUUAUUUUAAUUAAAUAUUUGGGGUAUUUUAGAAGGGUGUUACAAGUGUCACUAUGAAUCAUCCCUAGCCAAAGGUAAGGUUCACGUCCCUGUCCCCGGGUUUAUCCUAGUUCCACCGUCUAUGUAACACCCUUACUUUAGUUAAUUAUUAUGUUUAUUUAAAUCAUUUAAUUUGUUCUAUGUUAUUGAGUGAUUUAUGUACUUUUUGUUAUUUAUGGGUAUUUUGGUAAUUUAGGUAAUAUUAAAAAAAUUAGAGAUGUGUUAGAAUUAAGAGAAAAUAGACUUUUUAAUUAAAUUAGAAAGAUAUGGGUGUUUAGAGUAAGAGCUAGGGUGUGGUGAGGAUUAGUGAGAAUAAUAGAAUUAUCGUUGUAAGUAAAUAAUUGUAUUAUUAAAAUAAUUAUUAUUUAAAAUAAUUUAGAUAAUAUUUGAAUGAAAAAUAAAUCAAUUAGAAAGUAGAGGUUUAGUGAGGGUGAGGAAAAUAAUUAGACUUUUAGGUUAUUUAAAUAGAAAAGUUAGAAGGGAUUUCUGGACAUAAUGUGAAAUUGUGGAAAAGAGGAAGCGAUUGAAAACCUAAGGAGAGCGAUCUAGGAAGGUGAGUGAAGAAUAAUCUCAAUGGUAGAAAAACUCAACGAUCAUCGCAGUCGAGGAAGGGGGUGAGAUCCCUUACAUUUUGCGUGUUUAGGCAUCCGAAUAGCGAGGGAUCCUAACCAUCAUGUCUUCUCCUUCCAUAUUAUGAGUGUUGCUUUAAUCGUAUGUUUGUGGCUAAAAGGGUUUGUCCUAAACCCCUUUGAAUUAACAAUUUGAAUAUAUUACAUCGAAUUGAGUUAUUUUGAAUCUAUAAUAAUAUUAUUGUUAUUGAUAUGUGGCCUUGUCCCUUUUGGGGUUUUUUUCUUGAUAAUUCGAUUACUCCCGGUUUGUGAUGUGUAGCUGAUAUUUUCUUUUGAGAUCAAUAAUCAAAUUCCAAAAUCUUAUUUUUCAUGAAAAUCCCUAAUAUCAUUUUUUUUCGAAAGAUCAUAAAAAUGGUCAAAAAAUCAAAAAGUCGAGAAAAUCGAGAAAAAGUUAGAAAAUCCAAAAUCGGAAAAAAUUGGGUGGCGGGCCGCAGCAGCAACCAAGAGUCAGAGGCCGCCAAAAUCAGGUGUCGCAUCGCCGGCCGGCGACCGUGAGCAACGGGGCCGCCAGAGUCAUGUCGCGGUGGCAGCAUGCGACAGGUUUUCGGAUUCGGGCAGUGCGGUGGCACGGGUCGGAUGAGGCGGUCCGGUGUUCGGCGGUAGUUUGACGUUUCGCUGUUCAAUUGAGUUAAUUUCGAGUAAUCUUGAGUUCAGUGACUUUUCGCUACCUUUGUUGAUAAGUUCGAGAGCCAAUUGUUAUUUUAGAGUUGUUUUAUGUUUAUUUGAGUCAGACCGCCGGUCAAUAUAGUUCAUAAGAGUUAUCUUUAUAUGCAAGUGUUGUCCUUUGAGCACUUUAGAGUACCUUAAAGUUGUUUUGGGUUGUAGAAAUUAUUGUAGAGCCGUUUAGAGUUCCUUUGAGGACUCUGUUGAGUAAAAGAUAAGGGUUGUUACCCUUUUGAUGAGUUGCAAAUAUAAAAUAAUAAUAACUACUAUGUCGAUAUGUUUUUAGUAAUUUUAUGAGUUGACGAACAAAUUGAAUUAACGUGUGAUGAAGUUUAUCAUUACAUUAUGUAAGAUUUUAUUUUUUGAUGUUUGGACAUUCAUUUCCUAAUUUAUCAAUUGUAUUAACCAACAUUUUACAAACUAUUAACAAAAGUCUAUUUGUCACAUAAAACUUUAGCUUUUGAUGUCAGAGCAUUCAAUAAUAUUAAAUUAAUCAACUUUAUAAUUUAAGAUUAUUUUUUUUAAUAUUUUUUUUAUUUAAAUAAAAAUAUUAAUCAUCAUAUAAAUAUAAAUAUAAAUUCGGUAAACAAUAUUCCAUAUAUUUGGUUUAAAUAUUUGAUAUACAAUUAUAUGUCAAAAUAACAUUGCUGAAUAACUUAUUUGGUAGACACGACUGAAGCUAAUAAUUUAUUUGAUACACACAAAUGAAAAUAAAUGAAAAUUUCAGCUAAAUCACUUUUAAGUGUCAAAAUAAUUUCUAUUGUGUCUUUUAAUUACUACUCUUUACAUUAUUUUUAAUAUAUUUAAUUUAUAAGAUUAAUUUAAUAAUAGUGUAUUAUUACCUUUCAUUAAUUUGUGUAAAAAACCUUAUAAGUUGUAUUAAUUAUCGGCAAAUAUCUAUACUCAUCGAUGUAGAGGGAAAAAUCACACAAUAUCAAACAUUGUAAAUUUCAAAACACAGAUUUCAGAUAUAAUACAUGACCAUUUCAAAACACAUACAAUUUCAAAACACAGAUUUCAGAUAUAAUACAUGACCAUUUCAAAACACAUUUUCAAUCUAUGCUAUAUAUGCAAACCAAAAAAAGCAAAACCAGAAACAACGUCUUAGCAAAACUAUUAUCUUCAAAUUGAUAGCAUAGCUUCACAACCAAGCAAAACCACCCCAACAACAAAAGACAUCCACAUUCCCUUCACAUUACAGUAACCAGCACCAGAAGAAGCUUCAGAAGGCAAGUCUUUGUUCUCAUCAUCAUCAUCCUUCGAUGCUGAUGACUUGCUUCCAUCACCAGGCUUAGAUGAACCUCCUUUAGAAACCGUUGCAGGUGCAGGAGCUUUCGCAGGAAGCAGAAGAUCAAGAGGAACAAGAACCUUGUCAACCUGAUAUAUAGCUAGUUUAUUAUCUGCAUAAAUGGUUCCUGUAACAGUGGCGUUAACCGCACCAGUUGUCAAGCUAACUUGACUGCUCCCGGAAGUGGUUACGUUAAGUUGUAGCCUUUUGGCAUCGUCGCCGGCCUGUGUUUGAACCGGGUUUGUUAAGGUGUCGAAAUUUGAGAGUGAGAUGAAUGAGGAAAGUGUGUGGAAUUGUAACAGUUCUACUUUGUGUCUGUCACUGAGAGAAUUAAGGAAACCUGGUUUCAGUUUCGAAAAAGCACUGUCUUCUGGUGCGAAAACGGUUAAACCAGCAUUGCUAGAAUCUGAUGCUUCUGAUGAUGGUGAUGUAACUAGCUGUGAGUUGAGUUGGUUUAUUAACUGAGUUGUUUUGAGAAGGCGGAUAAGAACCGAGAAUCUUUUGGCUUUUUUUAGAAUUUGGAUGAUGUCAAUGGAUGGUGUUUUGGGGAUAAUGUCGAUAGGGGCGGGGCCUCCGCUUGGGGAAACUGGUACAAGGGGAACUGUGUUGAAACCUGGGGCUGGUGUUGAUGCUUGUGGGGAUUGAAAUGGUGAGAGUUGUGCUGAGGUGGAAGUGGAGUAGAAGAGGAUGCAAAUUAUUAGUUGUAGAAUUGAACAAGAGAAAAGAAAUUGUUGCUUCUUCAUUGUUGAAGGUUGAGUAGAGAUUAAUGUGUAUGACACUUUGAAAUUACUACUUAAUAGCACUUGAUUUGGGUGUCUCGGUGCUAUCAAGAAAAAACCGAUUAUCCAUAAUAACUUGGUAUCCAAAUUGAUCCAUUUUAAAAAAACCAAAUAAAAUAUUAAAAUAAAAAUUUGAAAAUCCAUUUUGUUAUCCAAAUAUAAACCGUUAUAUAUUAUAGAAAUUUUGAUUUUGUUAUUGGUUAUCCAAAUUUUACUAUGCGAUAAACUUUUAUAUUGGUAUGUUUUCAUGUUUUAUCACGUUAUAAAUCAAUUUUAUAUUUUAAAUUUUAUAAAAAAAUUAUUUUAAAAAUAAAAAUCAGAUUUUUUUCUUUUCACAAAAAAUAAAAUAUUUGGAUUUUUUUUUCGAAAAAAUUAUAUUUGAUAUUUAUUUUUCAAAUAAAAUUAUUAUUUUUUUCUAAAUAAAAAAGAUAUUUUUUAUCAAAAAUAUUUUGUAUUUUUUCAAUAAAAAAUUGUUUUUUAAAAAAGAAUAGAUUUUUUUAAAAAAAAUUUUCAGAAUAUAAUUUUAUUAUUUUCAAUUUUUUUUCUGAAUAUUUAUUAUUUUUUUUUAUGUUUUUUAAAUUUUAAAGAAAAAAAUAUUUUAAAACCUCAUAAAAUUUGUUUAUGAACAAUUACGAAAGAUUUUAGAAAUUUGAACAAUUUUUUUGAUGAGUUAUUUAUUUUAUGAACAAUUAUGAUUUAUAAAGAUAUGAUUCAUAAUUAUUUUAUUUUAUUACCGUUUUUAUGUAACACAUCACUUUUGGAUUGUUUUUAAUCGAGAUAUUAUUUGUGGUGAUUAUAAAAGUCAAAUUUAAAAUAAUUUUUUAAAAUAAAUAUUUUUUUUAUAUAUAAUAGUUUUAUAAUUAGUGAAAAUAAAAAAGUUAGUUAAAAGAAAAUAAAAUUAUUUUUGAUAUAAAAUUGAUUUUUUAAAAAUAUUGUUUUAAAAACUAUUUUAUUUUAUAAAAUUGGUUUUGAAAUUGAUUUUUUUAAGAGAAUAAAAAAUUGGUUUUAAAGAAAUUGAUUUAAAUUUUUUUUUUUUUAAAUCGGAUUAAAACCGAAUCGAUCCAUAUAUAAACCGAUUUCUAAAAAAUAAAUUGGUUUUAUGAAAAUGGUUUUAAGAACCAAACCGAAUCAUAUAUACGGUUCAAUUUGGUUUGUUUCAUGAUCCAUGCACACCCCUAGGAAUGAGGGAGAAAGAAUGGCUUUUAUUGAGGAUGUUAAUACUUGCAAGGUUUAGUUUAGUUGGAAAGAAAAUUGGAAGUUAUCAUAUCAUAUCAUAUGAUUCAUGGCAUCAUACAGUUAUAAGAUCAAUUAUUUGAUGCGGAGGGUAUAUGAAAAUGUGGUAGGAAAAUGGGCUUUUGAUCUGUUUAGAGGUUGAGGUUUUCCAUCAGCCAGAAAGAAAAGGAAAUAAUCAGAAUACAGUUUAUCUUCCUAGGUGGCACUGUCUGAGAAAGAUUUGUCAAUAAGGACUGAGGAGCUAAGAAACAAACAUUAGACCUACCUUACUCUCAGAUCAGAUGUUGCUCGCAGACUUUCAGUUCAUUAUACCUAUAGCAGUAAUUAGUUAAGAAAAUAGUAUUUAGGAGAAGCUGGAAAUGUCAAAUAUUAAGAUCUCUUGAUAAGUUUAUACAGUAUACUAAAAUUUUAAUAACAGUUGAGACUAUUUUCUUGAUAUUUUUUCUGCAUUGGAGUUGCGUGACAUGACAACAAUAUGCCAGAAGAGUUUCCAUUGUGGAACGAUUUUUCGGCAAAAGAAAUGGGAACAAUUAAAAUGACGAAGUGGCAUGUCUGCAUAAAUUGUUUGGAAGUAUACAUAAAUAGCAGCCAGGGCUUAAGUCCAUUGUGAAAUCUCAUUGUGGAGAGAGAGUGAUUCUAAAAUCUGAUUGACAUGAUUCUAGAUAACUGCAUCCAUGGAGACAGGGUUCUCACUUUGAUGAGGCGGUAUCCGCUACCUUUUAGCGUUAGGUUGGCAGGUCCGACGUACUUGGUAGGAGGAAAACAUAUGUGCAAAUUUACUGGCAAAUUAUAGUUUCUAAGAGUUCUUUGUUGUUUUGAGGUAGAGACUCUUUCAAAUGAGUUUUAUGGUUUGUGUUUUUUUAUGAUAUAUCUAGUCUGUAUAUGCCCGGGACGGUUUGUUUAGGCGCUUAGCUUUUAGUCUUCUGGGCUUAAGCACUCAUUUUGUGUCAAAAACAAAGUGAUUAUAAUCAAUUAUUAAACAUCAUAAUAAAGAUUGUAGAUUGUAAAGUAAACAUUCUUUCACCAAAACAAUAUGUUUUCUAUUUUUAACAUGAACAAAAUCAGGAAAGUGUUCACACUUCACAACCUCUCAAACAACAAUCUUCCCAUGACAAUACAAAAAACGAAACCAAGAAAGAAAAAAAAGAGCAUAAUAGAAAUUCAAAAAACAAAACAGUCUUCAAAUGAUUUACUCUUCAUCAAUUGAUCAUGGUUAGUGCAGCAACAAAAAGCGACACAAACAAUGUUCCUUGAAGACAAAUCAAAUUGAUAGCACCAGAAGUAGCCUUAGUUGUCACAUCCUGAUCAUCAUCUGAAGAUGAAUCCUUAGCAGCUUUAGGUGCUUUUGCUAUAAUAGGAGCCGCAGCGAGAGCUUUAGGCUUAGAGAAAUCCAAAGGAAUAAGCACCUUAUCAACAUGAUAUAUAGCAAGUGUUUUGUCAGAAUAAACAAUCCCUGUGAGUGUAGCAUUAACAGACCCAGUUGAAAUAUUCACAUUGUUUCCAUAAGCAGUCACAUUUAUUUGAUAACCAGAAGGACUAUCACUUGCAAGAGUGAGCACAGGAUUACUUAGUGAAUCAAAGUUUGAGCUUGAGACAUAAACAGGAAGAACAUGAAACUGUAUCAGUUGUUUCUGUUGGCGUUCGCGGAGGGAAUUAAAGUAUCCGGCUUUGAGCUGCGAAAAGGCACCGUCAUCGGGUGCAAGAAUGGUUAAACCGCCGGAUUUUGUUGUCACCAGCUGUGCGUUGAUUUGAUUGAUGAUUUGCGUGGUUUUGAGCAAGCGGAUCAGUGUGUUGAAUGAUUUAGCUUUUCUUAGGAUUUUGAUGAUGUCUUGACCGGAUGAAGAAUCGGAGGAGGGUGAUUGAGGUAAUGAAGGGACUAAUGGUUUUGCGGGUGCUGCUGCUGGAGCUGGUGUGGCAGGGGCAGGUUUUGCUGGAGGUUUAGGUGCUGCUGCAGGUGAUUCAGCUGAAGUGGUGAUGAAAAAGAUAUGAGCAAAUAGUACUAAGAGGGAAAAGAAGAUGAUUUGCUUCAUCUUUUUAUACUAGAUAGUUUUGAUGCUUUUGAAAAGGUGGUAAUGAGAGGUAUGAGUAUUUGGUUUGUGGAAGUGUAAUGGAAGAGAGUGGUUUUAUAGAUGCUAUUAGUGAGUGAUGAUUAGGUGGCUGGUUUU